AAAAAUCACCUAAGGACUGAAAAAGAAGAAGAAGAAAGAAAUCGAGUACUGCUCUGGGUUUACCUAUAACUAUCUGUCAUAGCACAUACAAGAGCCCCAUUGUCCAAUAGCAUACGAAUGCAAUCCGGUCGCCCUAGUCGCACAGCGAGGUGUAAUGGCGUAGCCCCACUACCAUCUCCAACAUUCAUGAAACGGGUGAAUCCCCUAUAAUUCGACAAAAAUAAUCAAAUAAAACAUGUAAGCUAAAUCUAUCAAAAUGGAAGAUCUUAAAAAUCACGCAAAAUAUACCCACCAAGAAUCGGCAACCGAGCUCAAUCGCGCGGCUAUAAGAAUCGCUUGCAAGCAAUCCGAAUGGCCAUAAUAUGCAGCAUAAUGCAAGCAAGUUCUCGCAUGUCAUGAAUCAAACAACAAAAUCUAGUCCGAUUAAGGAAACAAACUUGGUAAUUAGUUUGGGAACACGCAAUAUAUAGAUUACAAACAAGAAUAGUGAAAAACAGAAGUGAACAAGUAAACAUCAUACAUUUGCGCCGGCUUGAAGGAGUGCACGCAUCCAUUACAGAUAACAUCAGCGGGCUCUUAGACCAACAUAAUUCCAAUACUAAAUUUAUCAACAAAGCUAAAUAAGAGUCUAAAAAUCAUAAAAACGAUACUUUUAUGCAAUCAACCUACUUGCUUACGCCGGUUGAGUGAAUCAGGGUGGACAGACAUAUCCAGAAACAUUGACAGAACCUGAAACCAGCCCAAACCAGAAAACCCGAAUCCCCAAACUGAGUCAGUUGCGCUGUUGCAUAAAAGAUCAGUUUUUUAUAACAAACAGACCCCUGUUCUGAGUAAUGAUGCUAUUAGCAGAAAUGCUACAAUACAACUACCUUAGCAGAUUAUUUCUGCACUGGAAUCGAAAACGCUGAAAUUAAAGAUUCUACUUUUAAAGCUCGGAAUCUCAUUGCUGAUUGUCAGUACAGCAGAAGCUUCUCUUCACCGAAUGCUCUACUAGAGUCUGCUGGUGUAGACAGGAAAAGUACCAAAACAAGUUAAAAAUUAAAAUUUAACCCAUUAAAUAGUGAGUGUUCUUAUGACCUGUUCUGAUACUAUGUUACUUAAAAAAGUGAUCUUUACAGUAAACGGUUCAGAAUUAGUCUAAACACGAAAAGAAACCGAAGGAGCUUAACAACCUCGAGGCGCCCAUCGGAGGCGGCGAUGUGGAGGGGGGAUUGGCGAUUGAAGAAGGUGGUGCUGUGGAUAGCGGAGGGUGCUCUCCGCAGAGAACACGCCGCCGCGUCCGAGUCCCCGGCGCGAACGGCUCGGAAGAGCUCGCGCUCCGAGCCGCCGCGGCUCCAUGUUAGCGCGCUCCUGCGCACGGCGCGCUGCGGCGCACGUUAGCCCCUGUCGAGCUCCGGUGGGGCCGCGGCGGAGGAGAGAGAGAGAGAGAGAGAGAGAGAGAGAGAGAGAGAGAGAGAGGUGCGGAGACGAGCUCACAAAGGAAGGUUAGCAGUUUUUUAAGGUAAAUGUUAAAGAGGAGGGAUGCAAAUGGAUCAGGGUUCGAUUCCGAUCCGUUUUAAAUAAAGUUGUGAGUAUAAGUCAAAAAAAUUUUUUAAAAAUUUACGCCUAUAUCGACUAGACCAGAACAAAAUAACUAAAAAAAUAAAAAAAUAUAAUAAAAAUUAAUUUGUCACGAAUCUAGAACCCUCCAGUCUCGGAACCCGCAUUGUUUGCAUUUGUAAAGAGUAGUUUUCACUCUCCAGUUUGUGGUAAUGGAUCGGGUUACCACUUCGAACAGAAUUAUACAAACUUCGUUACCAGAGAAUUGGAUUUGGCUAAAUUCCACUGCACUGUAUUAUCAUAUAUUUUAGUUGUUUUCUCACCUCUCAUAUAUAAUGUAUUAUUUUUUUCACGAAUAUUACUGCAUUUCACACCAGACGCUAAUAAACAGAAACCACGCGAACUGUAGUACUCUAACGACGUAGUGCAGCUAUUUAGAGGACCAAAGCCAAGCAGAAGCAGCAAAAUCUAUAAUUGGGCACUGGGGUCUACUAUUAACAGUUGGUAACAUGGCGACAUGCACCGUGCUUUUGCGACACAAGGGCCCGUAUAUUAUGAGGGGGCUCGCGAGAAUCGUCCUCCUGCGGUAGCAUCUGAAGGGAUGUUAUCUUGCGGGCUCAAGAAUUAACUAAUGGAAUGCGCUGCAUCAGAAGUAGAUUGGAGUAGAAUUUGAACUGCAGCAAUCGAUUUAUUUGGAUGCAGACUCUGUGCGCGUCUAUUCGAUUAGUUGAAUUAAAUAGAGCAGCAUUCUGCUGGUAGUAGAGUCACAGUCGAAAUACGUAAGCGCUGUGUAUAUUAUACACACAACACACUUUAAAUGUAAUGGGUGCGUCACUUUGUUCAGCUCGUAGUGCUUUCGAUCCAUACUAAUUGAUAUUUUAUGGACUGUAGCUGGGCCUUAGAUGCUGCCCAUUAUUGCAUGCAGUCCGAUGUUCGACACCUGGACUUUAAUAUUCGUGAAGAUGACGCCCAGGUCCAUUUUUGAUUUUGGAAAGGCCCUCGUAGAACUAUAAAUGGGCCUUAAAAGUCCAAUGAGCCCAUAGCCUCGAGGAUCCGUUCGGCCUACUAUUGCAUGUAGUCCGAUUCCUGACACCUGGACUUUAAUUGUCGUGCCCCUGGAUGCAUCGGCAGCGUCGUCUAACGCAGUAUUUAGGGUUUUACUCCGCUCAUUACGGCUCUGGUCGACGUCGGCGUCUAGGGUUCCCUCCGGCUCCUCCAAGGUAAGAAGCGUCUCUCUUCGAUCCUCUUCCUCCUCCUCUUCUCCCACCGUCCCCAAAAUCGUAACUUGAAUCCUUAAUGCUACUCGUUGUUUGAUAUUUGGAAGUGAUUUAGUUGGUGAUUUCGGUUCAUUUUUGAAGUGAUUCAGUAGGCGCUUCUUCGGUUUCGAAGCAAAUUUUUUUUUUGUUGAUUUAUUGAUGAUGAUGAUGAUGAUUAUGAUGUUGAUGGACUUUGGAUUUGUUCAAUUUUCAUGAAUCUCAUCUAAUAUCUAUUGUUUGUGAACUAGAGUGCUAUUGCGAUGGCUCCUUCGCAGCCGAACAGUGGUCUCUUCGUUGGACUCAACAAAGGGCACAUUGUCACCAAGAGGGAGAUCCCUCCUCGCCCUUCGAGUAGAAAAGGGGUAUGAUCUGAAUCCACUUAUGGAAAUCGAUCACUUUUCUGUAUUAUUAUGUAGAAAAGUUGAAUACUUCAUGCUUACUUGAUUUGUUCUUUUGUUUAGCCAACAUUUCUCUCGAUUUUAUAGUUCAGUAUAAGGUUCAUUGUGUUGCUACAAUGACACAUUUAUUGUCUCUAUAUUGUGCUUGUGUUUUCUGAGAAUCAAUACGACAGGGGAAAUGUAGACUCUGAAUAACUGCGAAAAAAAAAAUUUGGUGUCACAAGUUCGUAUGGUAGUGUUUUUUGACAAGUUCAUAUGGUGUCAUAUUUGGUAAAAGGUAUACUUAGAUAUCUAAAUGUUUUACUCAGGUGUCAUCAGAUAUAUAAUUCAUUCCGUAUUUAUUCAAUCAUUAGAAGUUGCAUAUUAUUUUAAUGGGAUAGUGGUCGCCAAUAUGACACCCUCUCUUUCUUUCUCUCGAUGACAUCACGGAUAUCUUGCAUAAAGCUGCAAGAACUUUGAUUCAGUAGAAGCUAGUUCUGUUUCUAAUGGAAUGAGCUUAUUUGGUAGUCAAGGAUAUGUUUGUUGUGAACAUUUCUUGCAGAGUUCAUCAGAUGUUUGAUGGGAAUUGUUACUUUGUGAAUUAUUUCUGAAGCUAUAAUCUAAUUUUUUUAGGGACUUGCACUGUAGUUUUACCACCUUUAAAACUCAAGUUAUACAUUUCCAUGGUUAAUUAGUUACCUCACUUUAUGUGCUCUUUAGACUUUACAUUUUAAAGUAUUAUGUACAUUGUGGAAGAGAACAUGUAACUUAUCUUGUCAUAACCUGGUUACUAGUGUACUGUUCAUGUCCUUUGCUUGGUUGGUCUAAACUUGAAGUGUAAUAAGCGGUGAGAUGUUAUAUUUCAGAAAACUAGCAAGAGAGUGCACUUUGUCAGGAGCUUGAUCAGAGAAGUAGCUGGGUUUGCUCCCUAUGAGAAGCGGAUUACUGAGCUUCUGAAAGUUGGAAAGGACAAGCGUGCAUUAAAGGUGGCAAAAAGAAAGCUCGGCACUCAUAAGAGAGCAAAGAAGAAGCGUGAGGAGAUGGCUAAUGUUCUUAGGAAGAUGAGGUGUGUUUUAUUUAUUUAUGUUUGCUUUCUCAUUUUGGUUCCUGCAACAUAUAUGGUGUGGCUAUUUCUUACUUAUAGCAAUUUGAUGGCCUCUGAUGACUGAUGAGGCACAUAUACUACUACUUACAAGAUUAUACCUGGUUGACUAAUCGAUUAUUGAGUUUAAAAUGAUGAGUCAAUGUUCAACUAAGGAAGUUCUAUACGUUGUUAUUUUUACUUGAACUUGGUGACUAAAUUUUGCUCGUGGUUAGAACAUAAGAUAUAUAUAUAUAUAUAUAUAGUAAUAAUCAUUUGACUGUGACUGACUAGUGGAGGUUUGCUGAUGGGUCUAACAAAAGCGUUUUUCAUUUCGACAGGUCUGGUGGGGUGUCUGAGAAGAAGAAAUGAAACCAAGCAGUCACAUGCUUUUCUUCUCGGCAGGAGGAAGCUUAGAUUACACAAUUCUGAUUAAUCUUUGAGACAUUUAUGAUGUUGCUUUCCAAGGAGAGACUUUUUAACCGAGAUUCUACCUUCUUUCAUUCUUGCUCAUCGCAGCAAACUUGGGUUUUUGAUGUUAUUUCGCGACUUCCACUUUUUUCAGUGUUGUUCUGCAUUAUGUGAUGCGCAAAGAGUUGUGAAAAAUAUUGAGAAAGUUGUUCUUCCUUGCUGGCAUCUUCAACAACAGCAGUAAUGUGAUUCUUUUACUUAUUAUUCCGCAUUUGCGCUGUGCUCUUUAACCACCAAUUGUGAACAAGAAUAAAUAAAAUUUCGAGACAUUUAAGUCCCAACUACAGAAGAAGACUCAAAGAGGGGAAUGAACAUUUUGGCAACUGCUCGGUGAAGUAAAACUUCAUGGAAAAAGAGGAAAGUGGUGUAGAUCUUGACAGGGAAAGGAAGAACGUUUUCGGAUGAUCUAAAAUCUACUUAAAAGCAUGAGAAGCUGAGACGAAUAAAUUGAUUUGGUGUUGUUUGAGGAUCUUGUUGGAGCUAAUGAAGGACCAAAUAUGUGUGAUGGGGCCUAGCAAGCAAAGACAGAUUAACUAACACAUUGACUAAAUCCACUACUCUAUUUAGCAUUCAUUUUAACCACAUUUACAGAGUCAACAUCUUAGCAUCAUUAUCAUGACAAGCUUACUCCAUUAUUACGCGUUAAACUAAGAUCUAUGCUUUGAGCUUUCCACGUUUGACGAGUUCAAAUCAUAAAUGUUAUAGCAAAGACCAAUAUUGAUACCUAACCGAAUAUUUUUCAUGUUUAUUUAACAAAUUUAACAAAAAAAUUAUAAAUACUAAGUUGGUCGGCAACUCCUUUUCAGGAGAUUAGCUAAUAUAUUAAUUUAUCACAUGUCAUAUCAAACCUGUUUCUUGCAUUAAUUGCAUAUCGUAUUUGGCCAACUAGCACCAUUUUUCUUUUUCUUUUUUUGAUUUUUUUAAAGACUAGCACCAGUUAGUUUUCAACUUUUUCUCUGACAACAUAAAGAAACAUUAGAACCGUAAAAAUAAAAAUAAAAUAGAAGUUUAUUUAACUUUGAUUUGGUUUUGAAAAACUAUUGAGCUACGAGAUUACAAAGAUAGGUGCAUGAGAAAGAAAUGGAGGCGAUAUGGUCGCAAGAUGCAGCAAUAAAAGGAGUCCAGCUACUAUACUCUUAUAUGGUCGCAAGAUGCAGCAAUAAAAGGAGUCCGGCUGCUAUACUUUUAUAAGUACGAUCGUCUUUGUAUUCAUAAGUCGUUUUCGAUGAUAAAGCUUCCGAUUCAACAAUCCAUAUCGUUAAAUAUUUUUUAGAGCAUUUAAAAUUUCUAGAAAUCAAAUUUCAUUAUUUUUCGACAUCAUUUACCUUACGAUCAAAAGCUUACAAAAUUGAUAAUUUUUAACGACCGGUAGAAAAUAUUUGCUAGUUUAACAGUGCAAAAAAAUCAGAAUAGGUUAUAUUUUUGAUAGAAAAUUCUAUUCACUAUCUAGAUAAAGACCAAUAACUUCGAUCUUAAAUUGAAGAAUCUGAAUUUUUAGGACGUCGUUCGAUUUUGAUCGUUCAUUUUAUACCGGCGUGAUGGACUUUAUUAUGAUUUCGAAAAAUUACAAAAUUUAUUUUCUACAAGUUUCAAAUACUCUAGAUUAUAUUUAACUGAAUGGAUCGUUAAUUCGAAAGUCGCAUCAUCGAAAACAACUUAUGAGUACGAAUGGCCCAAUAUUCAUAAGAGAAUAGUAUUCCUACUCCAAUAAAAAUUCUAUAUCUUAAUAAAAUUACGGAAUAUUUAUUAUAAACAUUUUUUUUUAUUAUAUUCUCACCGAAAAAAAAGACCAAAAAAAGAGAGAGAGAGAGAGAGAGAGAGAGAGAGAGAGAGAAACAACUCGAACACCAAUUUUCUAAUUUUGUAAAAAAAUUUUUAAAUUUGGAGUAGAUACGUACAUCACCUCUUACUUAGUUUAGUUCGAUCCAUGGAGGGAGACGAUAGGAGACCCUUGCCCUCGUCGUCGUCGGCGGCGGCGGCGGCGGCGGCGGAGGCGGUGGUGGUGGCGCUCGACGCGGCGAGGGAGCUCAUGGGGUUCUGCGGCGAGGGGANAAAAUUUUUAAAUUUGGAGUAGAUACGUACAUCACCUCUUACUUAGUUUAGUUCGAUCCAUGGAGGGAGACGAUAGGAGACCCUUGCCCUCGUCGAUCCCCGCGGCGGCGGCCGGAACCCUAGAGCCGCUCGCGGAGGCGCUCGACGCGGCGAGGGAGCUCAUGGGGUUCUGCGGCGAGGGGAGCAAGAUCUUUUUGGUAUGGUAAAGCUCGCGUUUUGGUUGGUUUUGUUUCCAUCUUUUGUUCGAAUUUUGGGGAUUAGUUUGAUUUGAUGGUUGAACUCGCAGCUCUGGUUCACUUUGAUUUCCUUUUAUUGCCGAGAUCUCGGUUGUAUUAGGAGCAACUUUACUGAUAGUGAUCAUCUAGGUUAUCUAAUUUGUUCACUAAUUUUGUCGUGUUUUGCAUAUUUUUGCAAUUCUGAUAACUAGUGUAGUUGAAUUCGAAGUUUUGAACUAUCCAUGGUUUGUUGCACGCUAUACUGUAUUUUGUUCAGAUUUUUUUUUUUUUUGAAUUAAGUGUAUUCGUUAUGUGAAUUCUCAGAGGCUGGUAGAUUCUGGUUAAUGUCCAUUUACAGGGAUAAACUAUUGUUGUAAUUUUGUUUGUGCAUCUGUGUGCAGAGGAAAAUGAAUAUUCCGAAGUAUCAAAUUUGAGCUCUUGACUCGUUCUCUUUCCAAUAAAUUGCGGAGAUGUAGGCUUAAGAAUAGUACAGUUCUCUGUCAGGGUUUGCUUGUUUACACUUUAAGAUUAAGAUAAUCAGGGAUGUUAAGUAAUGAUUUUUCCUUAAUAUUAUUAGGAUCAAAUUCUGAAAAUUUUCUGUCGCCAACCAAGUCAAUUGUCCUUUGGUAACUGCUUGGAAGAAAAUUAUUUGUACCUGGAUUUUAUUAUGGUUGCUUUUCGCAUAAAUAUUAUCAAUUCUAUGUGAUUUGCUCUAACUGUAAGUUUGCAAAGCAAAUGAUCUCAACAUUGUGGCAAUCAAGUAGCAGUUCAUUGUACCGCCCAUACCAACUUAUUUCUUUCUAUUUAUCUCUCCCUGUUUCCACUCUUUAAUCUUUAGCAGCCUGGUAUGAUAAUGGAAAUACUUUAUUUUGCGUGUGGAACGAUAUGGCAAAAGGGAUUCAUCUGCUAGCUUUUGCACAAUCGCUUGUAAGAAUGCACCCAACGUAGUGUUCAUCCAGAAGAUAGGGAAAUGAUCUCUUUCUCUUUCCUUUUGUGUAACUCAAUAUUUGUUUCCAAUGGAGAAAACUCAUCAGUCAAAAAUCUUUAAUGGUAUUUGUUCAUAGACAUUUUUCUGAAUCCCUUCAGAUUUGUGAACCUCAUAAUAUCCUUUCAUUUGAAAAUUUUGAAGUUUCUGAAUGUUAACCUAAAUAUAAGAGAAAUAAGAAUGCCUAUAAUAUUUUCCAGCCUUGAUUCAGCUUGUUGAUGCUUUUGUGUCUAAUUCUUUUAUCAUUUCCUUGGCCUUAUUAUGUGGAAUGACUUUCAUUUCUUAUGGUUUCUUAAAGAACCUAGAAGUACUCUUAGAUCACCGAACUUGGCGUAAUGUCAUAUUCUUUAGUUUAACCUAUUCGCACUUGCAGUGUAUUCAGUCUCGAACUCAACCUAUGUCACUUAUUAUACUUUUGUACUCUUAAUGAGUGACUAGAUUCACUCUCAGAGAAAAAUAACAUGGCUAUUUGUACAAAAGUUUUGAAAUUACAGUUUGCUUUGAUGUGUCGGCUUGACUUAGGGAAGUGCAAUUUUAUUUUCCUUCCCUGAUCUUUUCCUCUCAUCAUUUGCAGGUCCUUGAGAAAGACACCGUAAUGAAAAGGUUUCAGGAAGUAUCUUCUCAGUUAGAACAAGCUUUGGGUCAAAUUUCUUUUGACGAUCUUGACAUAUCAGAUGAAGUUAGAGAACAGGUAAGUAACUUAUGGCAAUCUCUUUAAAGUCUCUAUAGACAUUACUCUUCCUUAAAUUUGUAUCAUUAAUCUCUUUUGGCACAUUCUCAAGAGUACUUCUUCUUGAAGAUAAGAGUUUUCUGUUAAUUCCUUAAUAUGUCAGUAUCUAAUUGAGAGAUGUUUUAACAGGUUGAGCUUGUGCAUGCUCAACUAAAGAGAGCCAAAGAACGAACUGAUAUGUCGGAUUCAGAGCUUCAUACUGAGUUAUUAUCCCUAUAUAACAGGACCAAGGAGGUCAACAUAGACCCAUCGAUCCUUGAAAGAUUAUCAGAAAAGCUACACCUGACUACAAUUGCUGAUCUCAAACAAGAAUCGCUAUCUUUGCAUGAGAUGGUAAUUGCCAGCGGCGGCGGCGAUCCGGGAGAGCAGAUUGAGAAGAUGUCGAUGCUGCUAAAAAAGAUCAAGGAUUUCGUGCAGACACAAGACCCUGAAAUGGGCAGUGUAGCAAAUCCGAAAUCUCUGCUUCUUGAUAGGAAGCAAAAAACUGCAGUAAUUCCAGAUGACUUCCGCUGUCCUAUAUCCCUGGAUUUGAUGAAAGAUCCAGUAAUUGUGGCCACUGGUCAGGUAACUUUUAAUUUAAAUAAAAUCAUAGAGACCUUACCUGAAGUAUAGCUGAUUUUGAUAGGGCAUCUACACUCUUGAAGCUUUGAUUCUACUACCUACCCUUAAAAGUUGACAAUUUGUUUGAUUUAUCUGGUUCACCAGCAAAACUUAAUAGUAUUCUUAAAUUUUUAGCAGAAUAUUGUAAAACCUAACCACGUAUUCUGUUCACUUACGGAAGUUUUUAUCGCUAUUUUGACCGAAACCUUUAAGUUCCAACAAAAUUUGCCAGGAAUUUUGGAAAUCAAAAGUAAUGGAAGGUGAGAUAGUAAACUCAAUACUUAUGAAAGUUUAGGUAUCCAUGUUAAUACACACUGUAAAUUCAGAUAAAUUCUAUAAGUUUUUUACCUUCUAUUCAUGGUAAUCUUGGUUUUUAGAGGUAUUAAGCAGUGUACUAUGAUUCAUCUUUCAAAUUUUUUAGCUAUUCUUUUGUCCAUCCAGACAUAUGAGAGAGCAUGCAUUGAGAAGUGGCUAGCUUCAGGCCACAACACAUGCCCAACCACGCAACAAAAGCUGGUUCACACCUCAUUGACCCCAAACUAUGUUUUAAGAAGUCUCAUCGCCCAAUGGUGUGAAGCGAAUGGUAUUGAACUGCCCAAGCGACCUUGCCAACCUAGUAAUCCUACCUCUUCAUCAUGCUCCUCAAAAGAACAUGCUAAUAUACAUGCUCUUCUCCGUAAGUUAUCUUCUCCGAAGCCCGACGACCAGCGAUCAGCUGCUGGGGAGCUGCGUCUCCUGGCCAAGCGCAACUCUGACAACCGCAUCUGUAUAGCCGAGGCUGGUGCAAUCCCCUUACUGAUAAAUCUACUCUACACCACCGACUUACGGAUCCAGGUUUGAAGGAUUUUUUUUUUCUUUAACUAAUGUAAGCUGCUAGAAGACACUGUUUUUUAAUAUUUUAUGUACUAAACACCAGGAACAUGCUGUUACUGCCCUUUUGAAUCUCUCCAUCCAUGACGACAACAAGGCAGGCAUAGUUUCUUCAGGGGCCGUGCCAGGCAUUGUCAAUGUAUUGAAAAACGGCAGUAUGGAAGCACGGGAGAAUGCCGCUGCCACUCUCUUUAGCCUUUCAGUGGUGGAUGAAUAUAAGAUAAGAAUCGGGGAAUUGGGGGCCAUACCAGCCCUCGUGUCGUUACUAAGCGAAGGGACUCAGCGUGGGAAAAAGGAUGCAGCAACUGCCCUUUUUAACUUGUCCAUAUAUCAGGGGAAUAAGGGGAAAGCGGUUCGAGCGGGUGUCGUCCCACUAAUAAUGGGGCUAUUGACUGAUCCAUUGGGUGGCAUGGUGGAAGAGGCUGCGGCGCUGCUGGCAGUGCUGGCAAGCCACCCAGAGGGGAAGACGGCAAUUGGGGAGGCUGAGGCUGUGCCAGUGCUUGUAGAGAUGAUUGGAAUGGGGUCAGCAAGGAGUAGAGAGAAUGCGGCUGCUGUUCUUUUACAUCUUUGCUCUGGGGAGCAGCAACUCAAGUAUUUAGCUCAGGCACAGGAGUGUGGGAUGAUGGGGUCACUAAGGGAGCUAGCAGUGAAUGGCACGGGGAGGGGAAAGAGGAAAGCGGUGCAGUUGCUUGAACGAGUGAGCCGGUUCGUGAUACAGCAGCAAGAGGAACAGGCUCAAAUUUUGACUUUGGCUCAAGCUGGGACUCAGUUCGAUGUCCAUGAUCAAGUUGAACAUGCAGAGCAUCCAUCUUCAGCAGUUCUUAUUGAUCGGUAACAUUUGUCUCGUCGCAUUGUUUGUACACAUUCUUCCUUGUGGUUAGGAGGUUUGAUCUCAAGAUAAGGUGGUAACCUACCUGCUCUUUAAGAUGUGCUUUUACUCUGUGUUCAAGUUGGAAUGUGCUAUAUGCAUUCUUGAAUAGAUGUGCCAAUGGUUGUCCAUCGGCUGGGUUUGGAGUGUAACAUACACAAGUUGUGGUGGUGUAUAUUUAGUUUGGGAGUACUAUAUGUUUAUUGAACGGUCGUCAAGCCUAUUACUUGUAGCUAGAAUUAUUAAACAUCUUUGUGAAUGCAGUUAUUUGUGUUCUGUUAUGUGUGUAUGGAUAGAAUCCUUUUGGGAUGUGGCUAAUGGAUAAUUCUACUGUUAAUUGAAUUAGAACAAAUUAGAUUCUAUCACAGGGUCAGUAGACACAUGUAUCAACCCUCUUUUUUGAGGGAUUAACUUAAGUAAUCUUCUAGGUAUCUUCUUAUUAGACUGAUCAUUUAACACACCGCAUACGAUGUCUCUUCAGGUAAAUUUAAAAUCACACCCUUUUCCUUUUUUUCCUUUUCCAUUGCAUAUUCUUUGAUCCUCAAUUGCAUUAAUUGGUCCUUCAAUGUUGACGCAAGCGAGCUACUAAUGUGAUAUUAUCUUAGGUACUGUUCACUUAACAGAGAUUUAUAUUGGCUUGUUGAAAUAAGGUUGCUAGCAACGGUAGCUGAUCUAUCUGUGGAAUAGCAAUGCAGAUUUUCAGGUAAAAUCUGUAACUUCGAGAUUUUUGUGAACUUUUUUCUGUUUCGAAGAAUGUAACUACAAUUGUGUAUACUGCUGUUUUGAAAUGUAUGUGUAGUAAUUGCUAUAUGUCCUGGUUAAAUGGUAGCACAACUUAAUGGGCGUUCUCCUACUUUAAUGCGACCCAGCAGCCAAAUUGUUUUGCUCCAAGCUCAUGAAAACAAUUAAAUAGAGAAAUAAACCAAACAAUGAAUAAAGAUAGAUACAAAAAUAAUAAAAGCUGGUACAUACAUAAUAUUUCCAAGUGGUUUGUGACCAAUAGCAAUGAUAAUCUCUAGGGUCCUUUCUUUUUUCUUCUGUGAAAGAUUUGGUUCGUAGCAGUAGGAAGUGACAGUACGAGGUGGAUAAUGAGUAUAAUAGAAGUGUGGCUUUUUGACUCAGGUGACCGAGGCUUCUUAGAAAGAGAAAGCGAGAGCUCCGUUAUCCAUUUAAGCAGCUUCGUUUUCCAUGUAAGUAGUCGAAGCUGUCUCCCUUUCUUUUAUUAAAAAUGCUAUUGUACACUAAAAAGUUGGGCGCAAAUCUUACAUAUGCUUCUUUUGAAUUUUUAAUAUUAAUAGAAAGGAUGGAUAAGAUUAAAGUGAAAAAUAUGACUUUUCGAUGAAGAGCGUGUAAAAUUUAUAUCUACUUUCGGAAUGUGCAAGGAAUAUUGCUCUUUAUGUAUUAUGAUAUACUACUUGGUCUUAUUAUAAUUGUAAAAUCUAACUAGGUAGUGACUCUCCUUUGUAAGGUUUUAUUAUUAUUAUGAUAUUGUAUUAUGAUAUUUCUUCUUUUUUCUCAUCCUGAGAUCUCUGCAGUGAGGAUUAACUAAAAGUUGAUGAAUAUUACGAGUGAGUAGAAAUGCUUGCGCAUAAAGUUACUCGAGGAAUAUGCUUUGAAAUUUAUCAGGAAUGUAAUAUAAUUUUGAAAAUUCCCAACAUAAGUUUGAACAGAUUCAAUCUUAGGUAACAUCCAAGUUUCAAUUCUGUUAUCUCAGUGUGCUUUUCUGCAGCUAUUCUGUGCCCCAGUGCCUAUUGUGAUGCCUAUGGAAUAUAGAUAGGCAUCAAUUAUCCUUAGGACUUGUCGGUUUUAAGCUUUUCCUUAAGCACCGUUUGAUUAGUGCUGCUCAAAAAUCACUUUAAUGGUUAUUAAAAUACAUUCAAUUACUUCUCACCUCUUUUGUCAUUCGUAACGUGGAAAUGCUAUUUCAGAACCUAGGCUAAGCUAUUUUUUCGUGUCGACAAUGUGUGUAGGUCCCCAUACCUUGGAGCUCCUCUUCUUCAAUCAGUGUAUAUUAAAUUCAAGCCUGGGAGUUUUGAGGCCCAAAUUUGGAGACGCCGACAGGAUUGACCGUCUUUCACCUUAUCACCAGGCUACUACUAGGUAAGUAAAUGCGGAAUUUUCCUUUCACAUAUGAACUUCACAAGGGAUGGUAUGGAUCUAUUUCUAUUUCUAAAUCAAUUUCAUUAAGUUGAAUCAAAUAGUAGUAUAAAUUUGCUAGUUGUGAACAUCACAAUCAGGUAUCCUCCCAACUCCCUAUGUCAUAGUGUUUCAAGAAGCAGAGUAACAAAAAUAUCUUCACUUGAAAGUACCACUACUACACCACUGGUGCAAAAAGCUUGCACAUUCCUAGUUAAAAACCAACUCUGGUGAAAGGGGCUCAUCAGAGUCCCCCAAUAUAUGAUGUGAGGGAGCUUAGCAAUCAUCCCCAUCACCAAAGAUUCCAGAGUCAAAUCUGCUGCGACAUGUCUAGGACAGCAUCAAAGCCUAUCUAAUCCCAUCCAUUUCCCCUAAAGCCUGAGAGGGCUCUAGAAGUUCUCAAAAGCACAAAAACACACACACACACACACAAACUUUAAAAAAUAAAAAAUUAAAAAUAAAAAAUAAAUCUGAAUCUAUUAUAUAUAUAAUAAAUAUGAGGAAGGUGUAAAGAUAUAAGAAGUUUAAUUAGAAUUCUCUCAGAUGCAUUAAAGUUUGAUAGGUUACCAAUGAAGUUAGGAAUAGAGUAAAAUGAUUGAUGCAUUAUUCCAAUCAAGUAUAUCAUUAACCAUUGGAACCUUUAUAUCUUACAUGGGAAUUGUGCUUCGACUAGAUGUACUCGACACACACACACACACACACAAAAAGUAAGAUUUUUGGGUUGAGAAAACAUUGUGUUAAUUUCGUUCUUUGCUAAGUUGAGAAAAAUCAAAGAAGAAAAUUAAACAGACGGCGCGAUAUCUGCCUUGUAAUCUUUUUUAAAAAUUUUGAGAGGGAUUUUAGAAUAUUUUUUAUUAAUAGCCUUAGAAAAUACUUCAAUGAAUUUUUUUUUUUAAAUACGGUAAAUUAUUCACCUUUUUUUUUUCAAAGAAUUAAACUUAUUUUUAAUGUUUAACACUAUGCAUCUUUUGAAGUUUGGAGAUAAGAAAUAUAUAAAUUAGGAUAAAGGUGGUGAAUUAUUCAUCGUUUUUAAAAAAUAAUAAAUGAUUCACCGCUUUUAACAGCUUAUUUUUAUAAAUAAAAAUUUUAAAUGUCUAUUUUUAUAUUCAAAAAUUUUGUGGGCUUAGUAGUCCAAAAACUCCGGAAUUUAGCUAGUUAGCUAGUUAUUUGUAAGCCUCAAUCCGAAAGAAAUAAGAUUGAAAUGUAAAAAGGAGAGGGAUCAACACUGCUAAGUAGAGACAUGCAUGCUUUAAUAAGAAUUGUGUCUGUUUGCGCGAGUUGCUCUGUUUAGUAUUAAUCGUAUCAUAAAAUUCUAAGCGCUUCUAAAUUACGUGCAUCUUAUCCUGUCAAGAGCAGUAAUAAAUUAGUUUAAAGAACAGUGCUAACUAAUUAGAAACUGAUCAAUCUGGGUAUAUAUCAUGUACAAAACUGGAGCAGAGAUAUAUCUGCAAGUAUUAACAAACGACAACAUUACUGACCGUCCCUAGAGCAAGUGGCAAAGGACUUGGUGGUUGGUAUCCGAGAUUCAAGUUCGAAUUCUAGUUGGUUCAUAUUUUCCAGCUAAGUUUAUUUCUAAAUGAAAUAAACGAAACGGGUAGCAUGCUACCUAUCUUUCUCUCUCAAAAAAAAAAUAAUAAUAAUAAAAAAUAAACGACAACAUCGUACUUGUUAACCAAGUACGCAGAAACUGAGCAGCAUGCAUGGAAUUUCUGCUCCUUGGUGCGACAAGAAUAAGAAUCCAGUGAGUUGCGGGAGAACAUACUCCCUCGGGAGUGUGGACAAACAAUUAAGAUUUACUGUAGAGAUAUUGUGAAAGGACAUCGAAGAGAGGGGGGUAAGGGGGUGUGAUUGUGCUACUUAAUUAGACCCCUCCCACAGAUCCCCUCAGUUGUUUUUGUCUUGUGUUAGUACUACUCUUGCCUCAAUCAUUGGGAUCGAGCCCAAAUUCGACACAAAAAAGAAAAGAAAAGGUUGUGACAAGUUUUAGUCGUCAAUUGUUAUUUCAUCCGGAUGCAUAUAUAUGGAACCGUAAACCUUACAAUCGAAUUAGAUCAAGAGAAAAGAUAUACACUUAAAAGUACACUGUUAUCUUGUUAACAUACAAGGCUUCUUUUCAAGCUUGAGAUGUCUCUCAUCUAUUUACUCAUGCUAUGCUCCGCCUUAGCUGUUUCCACCCUGUUUGCCUAGUUCAUGUUGCUUAAUGAAUAAAACAGAUAGUUUGCUAUUUUUUUCUCAAAAAAAAAAACCUAUCGUAUCUAGCGCAGUUGACUAAGAAUUUGAUAGUCGGUAUGCGUUAAAUUAAGCUGAGUUUAUUUCUCAAAAAAAAAUUAAACAAAAUAACUGGCUUGCUAUAAUUUUCUGUCUCAAAAAAGGUUAAAAACAUUAAUUCAUAUGAGGAAACAGGCAAGGAAAAGAUUUGAGCUCUCCUUACAUAACCUGUUUUCGCUCUAUCACAAAUUAUAAAUUUCCUACCUUUUUCUUGGAACAAUAUUAAUUAAUUAACUUGACAUGUACACUACAUACUUGCAUAAUUUACAUGCUUGGCUAUGAAGGCCACAGAUCACCAGUACCAAGCCAUAAAUGAACCACUUCUUAAUUAGCUCCACAACUGAUAAUUCUUCCAAAACUAUACAUGUUCACUUAAUAAAGAACAAAGACCAUCGAAUGAUACAUGAUCACCACAUGUUUUAAUUAGUAGAUAUUAUUUUUUCCUGAGUGCAGCUCGAGGGAUGCAAGUAUAAUGCCAUGCUACUUUUUAUUAUAGUUGGAUUAAUGAUGAAUACCUAAUCAACUUGGUUGUAGAUGGAAAUGCAGCAGUUAAUUGGAAGAACAAUUGUACAUUACUGUUACCUACUAUUCCCUAAUUACCUCUUUUAAAAAGAAAAAAAAUAUUAAGUUGGGAGUAACCUCACCAAUUAUAGCCUGCUUGUACUUAAGAUAACAAGAUUUGCGAAACUUGUAAGUGCAAAUUCCGCGCGGUUGAAUCAAACUAAACAAAUAAUUUGUAGUUGCACCAAUUUCUCAACUAUACAAUCAAUUAGAAUAAUUACAGAGUAGCAUUUACAUACUUAACUACUGCAUGUAUUUUCUAGUUCUUCUAGUCAAUUGCAUUCCAGCCAAACAAUUAAACCCUUUAGUUGAUCUUAUUUUUCUCAACUUACUAAUGGAGCUAGUCCCACUAAAAUUAAACCCAAAAAAAGGGGUAAAGAGAAAGAGUAAUUCCCAUUGCCAAACUUGUAGUUGGUCAUGAAAUUUUGAUGUAGAUUACUAAUUCAUUAAACUAACCACUAAUGAGAAACUAAUCAUGGAGAAACCCCAUCUCUAUAUAUAUAUCAUAAUUUAGCUACCUUUUUUGGACGUUCUUAUGUACGCUGUUACCUAUAUUUAAUUACAUGAUGAGCUCAAUUCACAUUAUGGAGACCAUAGUUUAAAAAGAGAGAGAGAGAGAGAGAGAGAGAGAGAGAGAGAGAGAGAGAGAGAGAGAGAGUUCCCUCUCACUAAGCUUUAACAUAGUAUAUGGAACAUGCCGUAGCAUCUUGGGGUCUAACAUAUUCGUGAGGUGUGAAUAUAUAGAUCACACACACUCAUACACACACGGUUAUGGCCAUGAUUGAGCUCAUGUGAUGCAACGUGAUCGAGCCCCAGCAUGGAAUCUCUUGUUAUAUACAGGGCCCAUCUCACCAUCUUUUUCCUGUUUCAGCUCUGUGUGUGUGUUUGUUAGAGGAGUCCCCCAACAUAAAUGACUCCUCCGACCCCAUUCAAAUAAAGUUAAAGCUGCUCUCUCUCUCUCUCUCUCUCUCUCUCUCUCUCUCGCUAGGGUGGCAAUGAAUCCUAAUAUUAGGGGGUUUUUUUUAUUGAAUAAAAUAAAAACUGUAGUAAGUUUUUGGGGCCCAGUUGGAGGUGGUGUGUAGAACGAAUCUGAUUCCCUGAGCCCCAGUUGAUGAUCUCGAGAUUGGGUCCCAAAAAGGACUAGCCCGUAAUUUAGUGGGUCGGAUUUGUGUCCACGUACAAAGGACUUUCUCUCUCUCCCUCUCCCUCUCUCUCUCUCUCUCUCUCUCACACUGAGACACGCUCGAGAGAAAUAAUUUAAUGGACCUGGUACACCACCAUGUAAACCACGAAUUGCCUUGUAGAUCAUGGGUCAUGAGUACCUACUUUUAAAUAACUUGACCUUCUAACAGGCCUAAGAAGUGAAAUUUGAAUUUAUCUUAAUGAGCCAAACAUGCAUGUAUGAUUCAAUUUCGGAUCCAUACUUAAUUUGAUGUCAUGCAUGUGAGAUAACUAUCUUCUUUUUUUUCUUUUUGUGAAAGCUUUAGCUAAUGGAUAUAUAGAGUUGUUUUUAUUGUUAUAUCUUUAACAUUCCAUCCAUUACUCUCACAAAUUUUUUAAAAAAAUACUACUUUCAAUGAUAAGAACUAAAAGUAAAUGUAAAAUUAAUAGCAAAUCACUAGAAGUUCACAAUUAAUGUGGUGGACCAUGUACACAAAAUCUCCAUACAAUUAAUCCAUCUCUCUCUCACAGCCUCUCUCUCUCUCUCUCUCUCUCUCUCGCUCAAUCACUCACUCUCAUUUCCCUGCAUGCAUUCCCACAAUUUAACUUCCAAUAACCAUGCGCACUUCCCCAGUAACCUUCCCUCCUUUCAAGGAACAAACAUCCUAUGGAUUGAACCCAUCUCCAGUACUAGUGUGGUACUAUUUACUACAUCUCUCUCUCUCUCUCUCUCUCUCUCUCUCUCUCUCUCUCUCUCUCUCUCUCUCUCUCUCCUAGGCUUCUAUUUCUAUAUAUAAUAACAACAUAUAUAUAUAUAUAUAUAUAUAUAUAUAUUAAUAAUAAAAAAACAUAUGGCAUUUUUUUUUUUAUUUGAUCAUCUGCUAAGGGUGUAACAGUACCAGAAGGGGUUCUCGCACACUAGUCUCUCUCUCUUUUUACGUGGGCUGAGGCUGUGGUUGCUUUAUUCUCCUCCAGGAGGGGGGAUAGGGAGACUGCAUUGGACUUUGAGAAAGCAGACGAAAACCUAGAUUCCCUCAGACAGGGACAGGUAAACCAACAGGGACCUUCUGGGGAUUUCACCUUUUCCUUUCCCUCACUCUUCUCAUUAAUUUGCUUCACCACCCCUCCCCUCUCUCUCUCUCUCUCUCUCUCUCUCUCUCUCUCUCUCUCACACACACACACACACAACACACUCCCUUUUGCUUUUUUCCUUGUUUGUCUCAGUGCAUGUGUGUCCUUGCACAUCACUGUGGCAUUAGUCUUAGGUUUUAUUCUAACCAACUGGGGUUUUUUUUUUUUUUUCCUUUUUCUUUAUUUUUUUGUUUUCUUUUGCGCGGGAGAGAGAGAGAGAGACAUACGCGUGCAUAGAUUUUAGUGAGAUCUUGGACUCACUCGCUCACUCACUCUCUCUCUCUCUCUAUCUACUUCUUUUCUUCUUCUUCUUCUUCUUCUUCUCCUUCUUCUUCUUAUUAAGUUAUUACAUAGAAAUGUGAGCUUGUUGAAGCUAGCCCUAUGGGUAAAUAGAGAUACAAAUUAAUAUUAUUAAACCAUAGAGGAUUCAUCUGAUUCGAGGCAUAUAUAAACUGCAGCAAAUCUCUAACAGAAUAUGCCCAUAUAAAGUGCAUGUCUCUUUGUCUCUCACAUGUACGAGUAUGUGGGUGGAAUGUGGUCAUUGCAUUUGUGAAGCUAUGGGAAUUGUUAUAGAGAAUUAUAUAUUGAGUGAGUAGAGCAUUACCAUUACGUACGUAGUUGAACAAUUAAUUAGUAACUAACUGGCUUGGUAACUUUUUUACGGGAGAUACGUAUGUAUAUUAUAAUUAAAUUCGUCUUCUGGUUCAAAAGAUUAUGCUUUUUAAUAAGAUCAAUUAAAUAAUACAUUGAAGAUCAGAAGAAUCUGAUGAUGUAUAAACUAUUUACUAUAGGCGUCGUACAGCUUAGAUCUAAACCAAAUUAAAAUCCAAGUGAAAAUUGAAACUUCCAUGUGACAGUCAAUGACAGUUCUCAAAACCCUAGAAAAUUAAAAGGCAGCUUCGAUACAAGUGAAAAAAAAUAAAAACCCUUCUUCGAGUAAAACUAAGGAGAUUGCUAUUCCUGUGCCUUCCCUUGAGAUCCAUGCUACUCAACAUUCAAUGCAGGAUAAAACAUGGCCGAUGAGAAAACAAAAGGAAACCUUUGAAUGUGGAUAUAAGUGCAUAAGAAACCUAGUUAAAAUACCCUACACAUGAACUAUAUAUAUGUAUAGAAAAUUGGAUCAUUAUGAUUGUUCUAUCAUACUGUCUCUGACAAGAGAAGCAAUAAUUCUCUAGAGCUUAUGCUGCAUUAAUGAUAGUUCGAGUAAAUGCUCUACUACAUAUAUAUAUAACACCCAUGCAAAUCUAUGCAACUGUUCCUAUUUAUUAUUGUUUAAAUUAAAUAAUGGAUUUACGGGUACAUGCAUAAACCUAUAGAGAAAGGAGAGAGAGAGUAUACAAAUACAAAUAGCUAUUCUUACACCAUGGAAUUGAGAAGAUCAUGCAAUCAAGUACCUAAAGCUAGCUAGCUAGCUAGACAUCUAUAAUUACUAAAUAGUCCAAGUACACCAGCUACUCAUAUGCUUAUCUUCUCGGUGAAGCUAAAUGAAGCAUCAUGAUUCCAACAUUAUGUUGAUGUUCUAUUCAUUCCCAAAGAUAUAGAAUAGUUGACCACCCAUAUGAAUGUUGUGUUGUAUUUCCUCACACUCAAGCAAAGAAUGUAGUUGAUUUCCUUCAUAUGGAGAUACUGAUGCUUGGACCAAGCACAGAACACUUGCACUGAUCGAGCAGCUGCUUUAAACCAAAAGAAGAAAACAGUGAUGCAUAUUCGUAUCAUGUGUUUGAAUGCUCAAAUUCAUGCAAAGAUGAAUGUGAAAUGAAUAUACCACUAUUACAACUAAUUUGAAGGACAAAUUCUUUGCAUUUGUACUGCUCGAGGUUAACUUAGUUAUAAGAUGAUACUCAUUGCAAAUGAAGUAGAAAUACAUGCAUUGUUCUUGUUCGUUGCUAACAACUAACUCUUCAAGUCAGAGACAUCACCACCCAUUAACUCAUGAACCAUUGCCAUCACCAUACUAUAGCAUACAAAAAUAAAAAUAAAAAUAAAAAUAAAAAUAAAAAUAAAAGAAGAAGAAGAAGAAGAAGAAGAUAAGACACUAGAUUGCCAAUAAAUCUAAGAAAAGAAACUUGCCUACAAUUUCUAUCAUCGUCUUCGGUAGACCUUCAUCAGUAGAUUAAAGGUGUUGCAGUAACCAAAUUCAUGCUUCUUCCUCUUCUACUUAAGUAGUUAAAUUCCUUGAAUUCCUUCCCUUUGAAGCCAUAGCAAAAAUUGAGCUUCGUAGCGUGAGGCUACUGCAUGUGAAAACUAUCGAACAUAGAGAAACUAGAUCACAAGAUAUUCCCCGACGAUGAAGAGUUGAAUCCGGAGAGAUCUGAUGUCCACCCACCACCGCCACUGCCACCGCCACUACCGCCGCCGCCGCCGCCGCCACCUCCUCCCCAGUAUUGGUCAUUUCCCGGAACACCCAAGUACUGUCGCGCUAAGCUUAGUCCCUGCGAGUUAUCUUCCAUUUUCACUGAAGCCAGUUGCGAGACAAGGCCAGAGCUUGAUAUCUUCGGAAGCACCUGAGUGCUGAAACCGUCAUUCCCGCCUUCUCCGUCGAAAGGAUAAAGUCCCGGAAUUGUGAGGGAUGGCGGGGCCUGCGGAGGUGGCGGCGGCUCCACCCCUCCCAAGAAAGGGAACUGCUGGAUUUGCUGGAGCCUCCAGUGCUCUAACCCGAGAGCCGAGCUGCUUCCGAUGUGAUAAUCUAUAGGUUCGAGCGGUUGGAUUCCGCUAAAGGCGAGCCCUAAGUUCGAUGCGCCGCCGGUGUACUCAGCUAGCGAGUGCAAACUGGCCAUGAAGGGCAGUUGUGUUGGCGGCGGUGGGAUGGUGGUUGGAAUGUUUGCACUGCCGCCGCCGCCGCCUGCAGCUGUGGAGGAAGAGGAGGACGUGCCGCUGAUAUGGCGGUCGGCAGCGGACGCCGAGGCGGAUUUCGAGGAGCCUCCAGAGGAGGACUUGCUCCGCUUGUUGCGUCGGCAACCGCCGCCAACGGGGACGUUGCGGAGGGUGCCUCCGCGGGUCCAGUAGCGGCGGCAGGUCUUGCAGAAGUAGCGUGGCUGCGAGAGGGAGUAGUUGUUGAAGUAGCAGAACUUGGUGUUGGUCGAGUCGCACCGCGGGCACUUGAGCGCCGGCUCCGGCUGGGGGAUCUUCGCGAGACGAGCACGGUCCGCCAUCGAGCCGGGCCGGGCAGGGCCGCCGGCCGCAGCUGCCAUGCUCGGGGCCUCAGGGCGUGGCGCGGCCUGCAGGCCCGGCGGGAGCGGGUGAGCUACGUCGGAAAGGCCGCCGCCGCCGCCGCCGCUUGCGCUCUGGUGCUGCUGGUGCGAUUGUUGCUGUAUUAGAAAAAUAUUCCACCAAAAAAGAAGAGGAUUGAAAUUAGUGGUAUAUUCAAGAAGAUUUAGGUAAAAGGGUAGGAAUAUCUUCUUCUUUUUUUUCCCACUCCUCCUUCCUUUUAAUUUGCUUUUUUGGUGAAGAAGAUAAAAAUAGGAGAAGAAGAGGAAAGGGAAGAAGUAGAAGAGGAGGAUGAGGAUGAGGAGAAGAGACUCACCUGGUUCCAGUUUGGUGGAUCUAAGUAGACUGGAACUGAAGAAAAAACCAUAGUGUUUUUCUUUUCUUCUUUCCCCUUAGCUUCUUCCUCUUUCUGAUUAGAUUCUUUAAGGGUUAUGGUGGAGAGAUGGUGGAGAAUCACAUCCAGAAGCAGUUCCUUUGAGAGAGAGAGAGAGAGAGAGAGAGAGAGAGAGAGAGAGAGAGAGAGAGAGAGAGAGAGAGAGUGUGUGAAGAGGAAAGGAGGGAUUUCUUCUUUUUAGCUCUUGGUGGCUUUUAUAUAAUAAAUGGUAGGGUUGGCUAAAUAGGUGAUGAGUGGAAGAAAUUCCUUAGCCUGGAAGGCUUUAACUAUUUAAGCUUCUAAAUAGUGUUGAGAGAGGAGCACUCCGGGAGCUUUAGUGGCAUCUCAUGAUCCUGGAAAAGUUGGAGAAUAGAAGAGAGGGGCAUGCAUGGAAACCCUAGCAAGUGUAUUAUUAUUAUUAUGUGAAGGGAAAGGGAAAAUACAUGAUAGUACAGAAAUAAUUAAAGCAAGGUUUAUAUGUAGGUAAAGAAGGGGAAAAGUUGGUUUUGUUGUAUAUCUGUAUGUAUGUCAAUUAAUUAUUUGUUUUGCAUGGAAUAAUAUGAAUGGAGAGUACAUGCAAUCCUGUGUAUAGGUUUUAAUUGAUAAAUUAAUCAUUUCUCUGUUUAAAAGUUUUUUUUCUCUUUACCAUGAGCAAGGCUCCGUCUACAAUUAAUCACUUUUCUCUUGUAAUCUUACAAUACUCAAAAAAAAGUAUAUAUUCAUAGAACUCUCUACUUAUAUUGACGUGGCGGGUUUUAUCAUAGUUAAAAAAAUAUUUUCCCACUAAAAUAGCCUCACAAUAAUUUACUUGUCGACAAACCGAUCGUCUCUAGAGCAAGUGGCAUGCAAAGGGCCAGCUUGAUGGUUGGUACCCGAGACCCAAGUUCGAAUCCUAGUUGAUUCACAUUUCCAGCUAAGUUUAUUUUUAAAUGAAAUAAACGAAACGGAUAGCAUGCUACCUAUGUCUAAAAAAAAAAAAAAUUUACUUCGACAAGUAAUGUGGCAAGUUUUACUAGUUUUAUUUGAUUAAAUAAGUACCUUUAUACUAGUUUUAAUUGAUUAAAUAAAGUACCUUUAUAUAUACUUAUGACUUGCAUCAAUUUUUUUAAUAGAGAAUUGCAUCAUUUGUGCGCCAAGCAUCUAAUUGAAGCUUUUAUUUCAGAAUAUUAAGAAACAUUUAUAGAAUGCAUGAGCAAAGUAUUACUUUUAAUAGCUGUCAAUUUUCUGUGAACAAAUUAUCCUUUUUGUGGAUUGCACUAAUUAACUAUUUAUUAUUAUUAUUAUUUUUAUAUCAGAAUGUUAAUUAGUAAUUUGUAGAAUGUAUUAAGCAAGUAUAUAUGUAAAACAAUACUCUAAUUUACCAUUUUAUUUAUAUUCUUUCUUUUUGUUUUUAAUCUGAUGCUCACUACUCUUUCUAGACUCUUUGGACGAUGAGAUGAUUCACUAGGAUAAUGCCUAUAAAAGUGGGGAGUAUUGUAUUGGUAGGUCACGAUCCUGGAAUAGAAUAGUUUGCAACAGCAGCUUUAUAUAUUAAUUUGGUUCAUGGAUUUGUCCAAAGGAAAAAUAACCUUAAUUGGAUUUUUAAAUUAUGCUUUCACAAACUGUAUAUAACACACCAAAGGGCAGUAUACAAAGUACAAAUGGCUCAAGCUAGGUUAUGAUUAAGUAGGGUUCUCGAUCCAAGGGUUGCUCCUUAACUGAGAAGCAAGCUGGAUGUGGAAAGGGGUUCUAUUUUAUUACUUCUAACACUAAAUGAUAACUAUACACUGAGAUGAUAAAAUCUUUCGUUCCUUGGGAACACAUUUUAUCAUCCGAUUGUACAUGAACUAAUUAGUCUUAAUUUAUUGUUUGGUCAUCUUUAAUGAACUUAAAACAUGACGAUGAGUACGAAUAUAACAAAUUAAAAUGUGGUGUGCAUGCAUUGUUACUUUACUUCAAUCAAGAAAUUGAUAUGAUAGUUAUUUAUACGCAUUAAAAAGCUAAAAUGUAUAGCAGGAGGUAUAAUGUGCAUCCAAAAAUAUACUAAACAACAAGACUGCAUGACAAUGACAGGGGUGGCAAUUCCGGAUUCGAACAAGGCACGAAAUCACUGAGUGUAAUCCCAAAUCAUCUUUAAUUUUCAAAACAAGAAAAAAAGAAUUAAUCAAAGAAAAAAUCCGAAUCAACAUAGUACAAACUUGUUUAUCUAAACAUAUAACACAAUAUGGCACAACCAUAGAGUAAUAAAGUGGUUGUUUUGAGUAUCUAAGUUAUAAAAACUUACGCAGAUCUAGUCUUAGAUUUUAAAGACAAAAUACACAAUGCUGAGUUGCCACCCCAAGACAGCGCCAAAAUUGAUGCAUAAGAUAAAUUAAGGUUUCUAGCAUCAGAUUCAGUUUCUUUACGUAGGACUUGUUAGUGUUUCUUUUAAAAAAAUUUCAAAAUUAUUUAUCACAUGUAUAUAUUAUCUGUUAGAAAUUCACAUCUUAGAAUAACCCCACAGGAGUAAUAGCAAGAGGAUUAGAGGACAUAGAAUACUGGCCAGUUCAAACCUAUACCAUGUAUUAAUUUGAGCUUCUAUUUUGAAUGAAUUACUAUUCUAAUAUAAAUUUGCCAUAUUCUUGGCCUGUGUAAGUCCUGUACUGGGGCUAAACUUCCUAACAACUAGUGUAAGAACCAACUAGCAAGGUCAUAGGUGUUGAGUAUGCCUCGAAUAGACCGACCGUCCCUAAGCGCAAGUAGCAAAGGGUUACAUAGUUGAUACCCGAAGUCACAAGUUCGAAUCCUAGUUGAUUCACAUUUACAACUAAGUUUAUUUCUAAAAAAAUAACCCAAGCGGCAAAAGUCUUGAUGGUUGGUAUCCAAGACCCAAGUUCGAAUCCUAGGUGAUUCACAUUUCUAGCUAAGUUUAUUUCUAAAUGAAAUAAACGAUGCGGAUAGCGUGCUUUCUAUUUCUCAAAAAAAAAAAAAAAAAAAAAUCCGAGAUUCCGUGUUUCCUUCAAUUUCAGACCACAACGCAUAUGUUCCCCCUUCGUCUCUCCGGUGAACACAACCAUNUAUAAUUCUCAGAUAAAAAAUUAACGUUUGGAUAAAAAAAAAAAAAAAAGGAGUAUGCCUCGAAUAGCAAUUUGGUGUAAUACAAAAAGAUUAUUAGAAAUUCACAUUCACAUAUAACAUUAAUAGUCUUCUGAGUUAUCUCAAAACAAAAAUAACAAUAGUCUUAUGAAUAAUAAUGAAAUGAUUGGUGAUUUGAUACAUUAAAGUUUACUUGAUCUAAACCUAUCGAGACUUGAACUUUUGGGACAAACAAGUUCUAGUGCAUUAAAACUCUGAAAGAUAAUCUCUCGUAAGCCUAUAAAAAGUCGGUAGAGAUUGGGAAUGCCAUAUAUCCAAUUCCUCAAUUAUUAGCCUAUUUCUUCUUAUUUUCUUUUUUAUUAUUUUCCUCUUUUGUCAAGCUUCUGAUAAAGUAAACCCAACGAGGUUUGAAAUUAGGCUUUAAUAUUUGAAAAUUCCUAAGUACAUACAUAUAAAUUUCUCCACUGAAAACCCAAUUAAAUGCAUGUAAGCAUGUUACAUGUGGUGCAUACACGAUUGAGCGAGUUCUUUUUUUGAGAAAUACAUACACGACUCCUAAAAAGCAAGUAGUAACAAACUUGUUCACGAUCUUGACUCGCGAGCGACCUGGUGCAUGCAUGAAGGGUCAAGUUAAUCAAAAUGACUGUUCUGUCGAUCGGGUUCAGUUGAGAUUGCCACCCCUAUUUAUAUUUAAUGAUCUGAGCUCGAUUUCAACGAAUAUAUUCGGUCGGUGAUGCUCCUGACCUAUCUGAUUCGACUAGACCACAUCUUUGAUGUUACUCUUAUGACAUAUAUAUAUAUAUGUAUCCAAGACAUAACUAAAACCUCACUCCCAUCACACAAAUUUGUUAAUUAGACUUCUUAUCUAUCAUUCGAUCCCCUCCAAAGAUUAAGUUUCAUAUAUAUCCCGCAUGUUAAUUAAGGCCAAUUGAAUUGAAUAAUUGAUACAACGACGCAUGUACAUAUUUAUGGUUCUAAAUUUGUGGUAAGGGAUUAGUAAGUGGACCACAAUUGAGGCUGACGCAGGUGUAUUGAAUCACCUCUUCUGGGCUAACACAAAAAGCUAAGAGAGACACAUUGGAGGACCACAAUUGCAACAGUCACUGUCAAUAUCGGCUGUAAAGGAUGGGAAUCAUAUGUAUCAUCAUGUUCAUCAUGACAGUAAAUUAUAUCAGAUAAUACAAAAACUUUUUAACACAUGGCUUUCUUUUUGGGUCUGUUAGGGUAGUAACACAAGUUAUCUAGUAAUAGGGCUGACAACGAGCCGAACACGAGCGAGCUGCUGGAGCCAAUUAACUCGUGCUCGAUCGGUUGGACUCCUUAAUAAGCCAAACACGAGCUAGCUUGAAUAAAUUGCGAGCCGAUCACAAGUUGGGCUUUUCGAGCUUGUAACAAGCUCCAACCAAAUACAAGCGAUUGAUGCUUCCAACCUUUUGACUCUUGGAUUGAAGCUUUUGGUUUAAUGUACGUGGUUUAAUGUGGGCCCCCUAUUAUGCAUCAUCCAAGGUGCAAAAGAAUUGAUCCAGAGGCCAAAAUGUUGAAAAUCCAAGGAGUUGGCCCUUCCGGAAGCCACAUGUGCACAUAUAUACAUAUAAAAUAAUAUAUAUAUAUAUAUAUAUAUAUAUAUAUAUAUAUAUUCUAAGUACCCAUCAAACUUUAUGUGUGGUUAGAAAGUUAAGAGCACAAGAACUACUGUGCUCCUAAUAGCACAAUAACCCUACUCUAUAUAUAUAUAAUAUUCAAGUUAAUACGAGCAAGCUGAGCCAAGCUUAUAUUUGGCUCAUUUAAACAAGUGAUUUUAUCUUGAGCCCAUUUUGAAUCAACCAUAAACUGGCUCACGAAUAGUAAACUGGAUUGCCAGCCAUGAACUAUUAAUAAUUUGUACGAUAGAAGCAUAUAAUUUUUACAACAAUGAUUCUGCUUAUUAUGUAAGUUAUCCUCUUUUUUUAAAAAAAAGAACACAUAAGAACUACAUAAUUUUUCGUGCUCACCAAUUUAAAUAUCACAUGCAUGAUCUUUGAGUAAGCACAAAAAAAAUGUUGAAAAAUUAUGUCCAACCACGUUAACAUACAUUAUUUUUUGAGAAAAAAACAUGCAUAUCUUAUGAAACUAAAAGAUUACUGUUUAUUUGAUUUUAUAUAUGAUAUUGAAACACAUUUGAUUGAUGUGUGAUUAUAUAGCUUUCAGAUGUACUGCACAAGAUUGCAGGGCACUAUUGAAGAUUUUCUUGUCAUGCAUGAACUUGCAUUAAUUUUGAAUCCCUCUUUAGCGCUUCUUAAUUAAUUAGUUUUAUCAGUUUGUGUUGUUUAACCUUACUUAGCUCUUGUUUGGAACAUCAUUGAAUAGGGGAAAAUAAAAAGUUUAAUACUUAUAUAUGUUAGGAAUAAUAGCCUCAUAUUGGAAAUUAAAUCGUGUAUUAAUCUGUAUAUAAUAUAUAGGGUACUUUCAUUUUCUUCAGUUUUUCGAUUGGGACUAAACCCUUUAACAAUAUAUAUAUAUAACAAUAUAUAUAUAUAUAUAUAUAUAUAUAUAUAUAUAUAUAUAUAUAUAUAUAUAUAUAGGAAUAAUACAAAAUUGAUUAGAAAAAUUACACAAAAUAUUUUUGCUCGUGUGGACAAAAAAUCUAACAAAUCAUUCAACAUGUACGAAACAGUAAUAGUAUAAUUAUAUUACUCAAAAAAUCAAUCUGAUUAAAAAAAGAACGAGAUAAGAAUAAAAAAAAAAGAAAAAACUAUCAACUCGAAUUUGAUUUGCACAAAACGAACAAAAGUUCGACUAUUCGUGGACUAAGCUAAGAACUCCACCCAGAAACUGUCUAACUUACAAGGCAUCGAGAAAAGAUAUAAAUAGAUUCAUUCCAUCAACAUCAACCAACACUGUUCAUUGAUAGCUGCUUCAAGAAUUGUGCAGGUCCACAUCAAACGCGUCACCAUCGCUAAAUUCCAAAAACAUUCCACGGGAUCAGAGACCUGUUCAAAAAACAAAAAAGAAAAAAAAAAAAAAACACUCCGAGGAAUCGCAAUCGCCAAAAUUAAAUGCAUGUACAUGUUGGGCCAAUAAAUAUAUUAGAGAAUAUAUAUAUAUUAUAUAUACAUACGCACUAACUAAUUAGAUUGAUGUGGGUGACGAAGUGUAACUGUAAAAGAUAAUCCUCGACCACAAUAAUUGUAAUUAAUUAAUCAUUGUUUAGAAAUGCAUUUUUUAGUUAAACUGUUUAUGAUUAGACUAAAAGGCUCACUUUAAAAAGUAGGUUUGAAAUUAAUGUCUAAGAAAAGUUUUUUUUUUUUUUGAAAAUUAAGUAGCAUACUAUCCGUUUCGUUUAUUUUAUUUAAAAAUAAACAUAGCUAGAAAUGUCUAAGAAAAGUUAUUUGAGAAAUUGUUAUACUGCUGUAGCCCUCGAGCUUUCGAAGCGUUACAAUUUGGUCCGUGACUUAGCUGUUGUUACAGUUUUAGUGUGGACCGCUUCGUUCGCAUUUGGAGAGCCAAAAUGGUUAAAAGAUUGUCAUGUUGACUCCACUUUGGGACCAAAGUUGACCUCGGGUCAACAGGUAGAAUUAUUUAUUUACUAUUUAUUUUUUUAAUUAUGAAUUUUUUUUAGUUAUAAAUACUAGUUGUUUUGAGUUAUUAUAGUAUAAAAUAAAAACAUAAUUUGUAUAUUAAUUAUUUUUAGUUAGUUGUUCUUCGUUAUCACAGUUCUUUAAUGUGGUCAAUAAUUAUUGCUUUAUUUUUUUUUUCUAUCUUUGUUGGCUAUUGGCACAUGGACAUUAUCAUAAUUUAUCAAUCAGCAUUAAACAGAAAAAUAUUUUUUUAAAAAAAAAAGAAUUUGAAUUGAUGUAUUUCUACGCAUUGAUUGAUGACUGAUUUUAAAAUUCAUAUGUUUUUCAAUUUCAUUUUUCCUUAAAGUUUGGUUAAAUUUAUACAUUCCAUAAGUUUAAAUUUUUUUCAGGCUUUGUUAGUCACUUAAUUAGUUGGUCUUCGUUUUAAACAUGUCACUCUUGUUCUCGAUAAAGGGAAUUUGUUGGACAUGUAUCAAAAGGUUUGUGGGCCUUAGUGAAUUGGGCCCGAUCCGGCCCAACCUGACUUGUAACCUGAUCUGCUUGUUUUAUGGAUCAGAUCGCGCCUGGUCCGAUCCACUGAAUCGGAAUAAAGAUCCAACACGAUUCGAGCCGCACACGGGCUUUAUCGUUUAGUUGGUUGAUCCGUUAUAAAUGGACCGUGCCGGAUUGGAACACGCAGAUAUCAAACUACAAAAGCCACCAAAUUUGGUUCACUACAUUGUUUUAUAAGAGAUGGAAUCUGAGUUUUUUUUUUAAAAAAAAAAAGAAACCAAAAGAGAGAAAAUCAUUGGUAUCUCCAACUAUACCAUCAGGUGUAGUUUCAUAAAAAAGUUCUCCAUAUCUUUUAAUCCACAUCCAUAUCUGUCCCCUGAUGACAUUUUUCAUUUAUUGCCAUAAAAUCAUCAUAAUUUUACUGUUCUUUCUUUUGGGUCAAAAUAGAAAAGUAGUAAUGCACAAGUAAGGAGCUUGAAAGUGAAUACACCUUUUCUUUCCUAAAGUUCAAACUUUAGUGAAGAACAUUUCAGAUAAUACCUUUAUUACGAAAGCUUAUACUUUAUCCAAAUUAUCUCUUUCAUAAUCUUCAAUUUUUGACUUAGUUUACUAUACCAUAUAACACUCCGUUUUUGGUUGAAACGAGAGGAGUUUGGUCCUUUUCUCAGUAUGCAAGAGCAGUUGAGAUGUUUUUGUCAUAACAGUCGAAGUUAUUCUCAGCAUCUGAAACAAAAAUUAGUUUCCCUGUGCUCAAAUUUAUUAGUGUGAAAGGGUUUGACCACAUGCACAUACAUUUAUGAAAGACAUUCACAUACUUAUCCAUGAAUUUGAUUGGUGUCAUUCACCCUGUUCUUUGACUCUACUUGUCCUUAAUUUGUUACAGACAUAUUGCAGAUUAUCUGUGGAUUAGUAGUUGUUCUACAGAACAUGCAUGAAGUUCACCUGCACACUGACAUGGAAAGGAGUUACAGAAAUCCUAACCUACUAUUCAAAACUAUAUAUGAUUAUCUAAGAUCAUAGAUGAAAAAUUAGCAUCUUCCAAUAUAAAUUAUCACUCUAUUAACUUAUUUUAACAUCCAAGUAAGCCUUUUAUUAGGAGGCUAGGAAAGUUAAGGCAAUGUAAAAGGUAAAGGUGAACAUGAGGAUAAGAUAUAUAUAUAUUUUUUACAGUAGUUUCUGACUUGGAAGGACAGUUUGCUACUAGCUGGUGGGAUCAAAUUGUCCUAUAAUAGAUUAGGUCCAAAAGCAAAGAUGCUUGUUGUGUUUAUAGAGGCCAUGGCUUCACAUGAGUCCAACUACAAAAGUGCACUAAAAAAGAAUCCCAAAAUUUUAUGUAUUUCCCCCUUAACAUUGUAUUAUACUCUGAGCUCCUUAAAUCAUGGUUGGCACAUAAGAUUACCCAAAAAGAAGUGUAGGGGUUAUUGUGAAAAGCGGGUUCUAUCUUUUCCCGCUUGUUUGCAUAUCAAAAUGAGUUAUUUGAUGAUAACUUGUACAGUACAACCGCUUUCUUUGUGAUAGAAAGCUAGAGCUUCACAUUUAUCAUAUUCAUAUAGAACGGAUUUAAAGACCUUAUGUAUUAUUCUCUUGUAGAAAUCUUUUAGUAUCCCCAUCAGCGGAUUACCACAUACGUACCGAGUAGACGGAGAGAUGCUGAGCAAGAUAUCCAUGCGUGAAGAUAGGCCGACAGUAGGAUAUUAGUGUCAGUUGAUAGACGCCAUUUAAUAUUUGUCAAUUAGGGAAAAGACUAAGUAAUCAUCAUUCAAAUCCACUAAUAUAUUUUUGUGGUUGUCUUAUUGUUAUUUGUUACUGCAUUUGGCCCUAAUCAGAGCUAUAAACCCCCACAAAAUCUGCCUUAUUUUGGGGCCAGUGAUGACUAAUACCCUUCUUUGCCUUUUUAAAAAAAUUUUAAAAAAUUUUUUUUGCUAUAUAAGCUUUCAAAAGAACUACUUCUAUGAAAGAAAAGAAUCAAAUUUUGAACUCAAACUACCAAAGAUGUAAGAAAAUGGACACUGUCACAUUCCUUAUUGAAAAUUCAUAUACAAAAUUGAAUUAUCUUAAGUCCAAAUAUUGAAGCCCCAUAAAUUUAAUAAGGAAGUGCGAUUCACAAUUAAGUUGAAGUGAUUCUACUAGAUUUGGACCCAUUUAACAACACUCAAUCAUCUCCACAUUUAAUAGACUUACUUUGGCUUGUCUUAUGCUAAAAGCAUUGUGUUUGUAGAGCAUAUCUUUUCACCAAUGGAGCAAUUAUUGUGGGUAGGAGAGAGCAUUCAUCAAUAUGUUAUGCAUGUCAUGUACUCACCUACCAUCCCAUGAACAUACUUUGAAAGAUUUGGUUAGGACAAACAUGCAAUAAAAAUAUUUAUCAAACUAUAUAAACUAAUUAAUGCUCUUAUUGUAAGCAUAUAAGUAAGCAUCAUCAAAUUCCAAUUGAAUAAAAGUGGAUUUAUUUAGAAUUGGGCCCACCAUGGAUUCAUAUUAGGGCAAUAUUUUAGCGUGUUUAAUCCGUCAUUUGAUGUGCAUUUAAUUUGAAAACUAUCUUAUGAUUGAUCUUGUUAGUAGUAGAACUCAUUUGGUUACCACAAAUUAUCACUAGAACACACUUUUAUGAUCUCUUUUUCACCGAGGUAAAUAUAUCGAACCGGAUAUGAAGUAUUUUCCUUCAAUUUUUGGGUCAUUUGUGGGCUCACAAAUUAAUUGCUUCCUCAAUUUUAAACCAAAUAUGAAGAUAAUUGGAGGAGAAAUUUGACUAGGCAGGCAAGUAUUGCCUACAUAGCAAGUUGCUUAUUAAUAUCACAUUCUAGUAUUAGCCUACCACCCUUGUGUAUAACAAAGUGCACUACCAAUUCCUUCUAUUUCUUUUUUCCAAAAUAAUAUGAUCUCUUGAUUCCAAACAAUGUUUUUUAUUGAUCUAUAUAUGCUUGCAAAUUACAAUGAUUUUGUAACAACAAGAGAGUGCGAAACUAACUACUACAGGAGUAAACCUAAAAGAAUUUCUGAAACCCAAAAGUAGUAUCUUCGAAGUUGUGUGUUUUCAUAUAUUGGUUUAGAACGAAGCUGUCGCAGAAUUGCUGAAACCAAAAAUUUUGUAAAAAUAAUAAUAGUUAUACUCCAAUAAUGCAUGUGGAAGCACUUGCCAGGUGAAACAGGGCAAGGCCCUAUACUUUCCUAUUACACAGGACUAUUGGUACAAACAUUGCUAUUUUUUUUGCUUACAGAACAGUGGUAAAUAAUGCUAAGAUUAAGCAUGCCUAAACAACAACACAUCAUUGAUUCCAUGUGGGCUUUUAUUUUAUUUUAUUUUAUUUCAUAUUUGGUGGUAAAGCAUCAAUACAACUUGUUUAGCAGUAAUAUGAUUUAAGUAUAAAUCAAAAAUGGGGGAAAUGAUUAACUUGUGGUUAAAAGGAGAGGGAAAGCAAAGGGGUUUGAUGAACUGUGUCUCAAAAGUGAUGGAAAGAGUGGUGCAAAUCCCCUGCUCCUAAAAAGAAACACAUUGCCACAUCUUUUGACAAAUGGGGGGAGGGAUCACUCACAUGAAUAAUUACAGGCUCGGGCACUCAAGGACAAGCAAGUUGGGAGAGGAUACAGCUUUUUCCUGAUAAUUUAGCAGUAGACACCACACCCCCUCUUAAUUAAAAGAGUAAAAACAAAAGAAAUUUACAAAUCAGGACAAUCUCCUCUGCUCUGAUAAAAAGGAAUGAUGGUUUGCAGUUGCUCCAACAGCAUAUGUACAUCAGAGCUGCCUCUUUUUCUUUUUUAUUUUUUUUUUUUUUUUUUUUUUUUUUUUUCAAUUCCCUCUUUGUGAAACAGGAAAAAUUAAGAAUACUGGAAAAGCUCAAGAGGGUUUCUGAAUUAACUUAAGUGAAAGUUCAAGUGGCUAAAAACUCCGGAGAUGUGCCCACAUCUUCAAUCCUUUGAGCCCGUGUGGGAAAUGGAUUUUCCCAUUUUUGUGGUCGUUCUAAUCUUUGAUGGCGAAGAAGGUAAAGGGAGCACCUGUGAGGAGCUUGAAUGGUGGUAGUGGUGUUGGUGUUGUUGGUGUUGGUGCCCUCUCUCUCUGUUUUUCCCGAUAACUAUGGUGAUAAAAGAAGCAUCUUCCUCCUCCCUCCCCAGUGGCGAAGGGAGAGAAACCACAGAGGAGGCCUCUUGCUUCAAGGCUUGCUCCAUUAACGUCCUCCUGUAGAGCUUCUCCUCUGCAUCCUUCAAAAACUGGAACUUUGGAGGGGGAGAGGAGGACUCGAAGAGUGGGUUGAACCCGUGCUGUUUGUAGGAGUCGAGCGGGGUUAAUGGUGGGGUGAAGAAGGGCGGGGAGGAGAGGGGGGUCAAAAAUGGCGUCUCCGCGGAGUGGAGGAGCUCACUCAGGCUCUUCCCUCCCUUGCGGCUUCUCCCGCCUCUGGACCUCCCAUCCUCGCUCUCCAAAUCCUCCUUGGUCUCCUCCUUAAUGGUGAAGAGGAACCUCGGCGGCCCCGCGAGGCCAUGGAGCCUCAUGAGCUCUGCUUCCACGCUCUCCUCCCCUGCCCCGCCGUAUGAUUUUAGAGCGAGGUGGAGUUGGGCCUCGUUAGAACGCUCUGUUCCGUUCGCUGAUGGGUGGUGGUGGAUCUCUUGAGGGUUGAGAGCCGUGGAGGUUAAAGACGAGGGCUUUUUCCAGAAGCAGAGGUGGAGAAGCGCUUCCGCGGGAGUAGCGUGGGUGUCCUCCGUAUCUCUAUUGGAUCUUCGCUUCUUCCACCAGAACAAGUAGUAGAGCUCCGCCAUGAGAGCUAAGAAGAGGAAGCUCGAUACCAGAGUUAACCCAACUCCCAAACUGCUUAAAGAUCCCAUCUUUAUCUCCUUCCCAGAUCAAAAUUCCAAAAAAAAAAAACAAAAAAAAAACAAAAACCCACCAAUUUUCUGGGAAAAUAACUAGGAAAACAAACACACACACACACACACACACACACACACACACACAAAAAGAAAAGAAAAAAGAGUGAAAUUACACCUGGAGUGAUAAAAAUCUCAUCUUUGAGAGCAAAACACCAUGGGUGCGAUAGCUUGUAUCGGCUUUGUGGCUUCUGCUGCAGGAAGAAGCGCUUCUGGAAUGAGUGGUGGGUAUUAAGCUGGGGUAGGAGGGGGAAGCUAUAAGACCCUCGUGGGCAUCGAUCUAUCUAUCUCAUCUAUCUAUCUAUCUAUCGAUCUCUCUAUGUAAUGAUUCUAAUCCCGCGAGUGUGUUUUGGUUUUGUGUUUUUUGUAUGGUUGACAAGUUUGUGUCCCUCGAGAGCGGCUCACAUGGGCGUGGAAAGAGAGAGAGAGAGAGAGAGAGAGAGAUUGAAAGGGGUGGCGUCGUUUCUAUCAAAGCCAAUGAACCCAAAAACUCACAAACUAGUAACUCCCCCAACAACUAACUUUCAAUACUCGCUCAAGAUACCCACCAUCUCUAAUGCAAAUGACAAAAAAUUUAAUAAUUAAUAUUUAUAUUUUUAAAUUUAAAAUUUAGUUAAAAUUGUAAAAAAAUAAGUUUGCGUGAAAAGAUUUUUGGUGGAAAAAAAAGUUUACGUUUUGUAUUGUUUAGUUUAUAAAAAAUAUAAAUAAAUUUUUAUUGAUGUUUAUUUGGUAGAAAUAAAAAAAAUCUACGUUUGUUCGGUUCAGUUGAAAAAAAUAAAUGUAAAAAAAUUUUAAGCAGUUUGAGUUUUUAUUUUUAUUUGAAAAUUGGUAAAAAACGAAAAUACUUUCUUUUUCUCAAAUUUGUAAAAGUAGCUUUUUGGAAAAAAAAAAUACGACUAAACAAACGAAAAAUGAUUUUUCAAACCAAAAAAUAAUUUGCCAAUCAAACAUAUAAAUAAAAUAUAAGUAAAGUAUAUAAAUAGGACAUAUUUUUUAUCGUGUUUUCUUUUUUUUACCAUACUUAACUCAAUCUACCCCUGAUCCAACACGGAGCCUUAGGCUUGUUUUGAGAUCACAAACAAAUUACAUUACACAUAAAAAUAAAAGCUGAUAAUAAGUAUUUUUUAUGUCGUGCAAAUAAUAUUAGUUUUUGUAAAAUAUAAAAUAAAAUAGCAAACUAGCAACUCUUAAUUGUUUUGGCUCAAUAACAGUAUAUAAUCAUCGGUAUCAAAAUUUUGAGAUAAUGAAACAUUUUUGAACUCUUAAUAUUGUUGGAGAUGAGUCAAGAUUAAAUGAGUAGAAUUCAACAAUGUGGAAAACAAAUUUUGAUAAAUUUUGUGAUUAAUGGUGGCUUUUAUCCUAACCCGUGUAAAUUUCAAUAUGAUUGCAAGUUAUUAUUUAAAAUAUAAACAUUUAAAAGUUACUAUAAAAUUUUCGAAUUAUUUCACUAUUAAUUUUAUGCUAAGAGUUGAAGUUUCAAAUCUCUUCUUAAUAAAGUUUGCAAAACUUAGUAAUUAGAAAAAUUAGAUCAAAUGAUUGAUUGGCACAAACUAAAUUUUUGCAUAACAAGUUUAGUUAAUAAAUGCUAUAUUCGAAUGACGAUUUGUAAAUGGAUCAAAUCCAGGUGAAUCUUAUUUAUUUAUUUAUUUAAGCAUAGCUUUUUAAAGUUAGAAUAGAAUAAAAUAUUAUAAAGUUUUUACAGCAAUGAAGCUUCUGUAUAAUUUUAUCCAUCAAUUACACUAUACCUUUACUCGAUCUCCACCGUCCAAUAAUAAGAAUCUGCCUCGAUCAUCCGUUAAUUCGAUAAGAAUCAUUUACUCAAUGCGUGGACUUUGAGAUUCCCACGGAAUAGAUACCGCUUGCGCGUUAUAAACGCACUGAAACUUUGGUUGCGAAUCCAACGUUAUCAUAGCACUGAGCCAAUUAGAGAUUGACACGUGCUCGCGGUAGUUUAAAUCUAACGGUCAACAAUUGCAUAUGUUCUUAAUUUUUUUUUUUUUUAAGAGAAACAAAUCAACAUUCAAAAAGGUGAACUAAAUAGUAUUGAAAAAUAUAUUCUAAUAAAUUAGAGAUAAGUACUGAUGCGGAUGUACAAAUUCAUUAACCCCGAGUGAGAUUUUGACGAAAGGGUGAUUAACUGUUCCAAAUUGAGUAAGAAAAUUAGCGGUUCAGAAGUAUAACGACCAACCAACUGAAGAUUCACGAGAUCACGAAUAAUUUAAAGAGAACGGGAGGAGCCGCGAGUCAUAUGAAGAGGCCAGCAAAGCGUCACAGACCUUCGACUAGAGAAAGAGCACCACAAUGAGUGGCAUAGAAAAAGAUAAACAUACAUAGCUUACAGAGACUUAUCGGUCUUGUGGGAUCAAUGCAUGAAAAAAGAGACGGUGAUAGAAAAUAGAGGAUAGCGAUAAAAUGCAAUAGGCGAGAGAGGAGGAGGUCAGCCCCUCCUUGACUAGCUGUGGUCGUUGCCGGAAAGAGGCGGGAAAGUGAAGAGAUGACGCAGUAGGAGGUUAUAGUCAAUAAUUAAAUUCUAUAUAAGAUAAUGAAUAUGAGAAAAAAAAAAUUUAUAUUCAGUUUCUUUCAAAUAGGCUAGUAAUCAAAGCAAUCAAAUUUAAUAGAAUUAUCGAUAAAUUUGAUAAAAAUUUUAUUUAUCUGACUAAAAUUAUUUAAAUUUAAAAAAAAAAUUAAAAAAUAAACAGUUACAAAAAAAAAAAUUUAAAGUAUGUGAAGGGGGGGGCAACAUUUCAAAAUAGCCUAUUUAUUUAUAUAGUUAAGGGGUUUAAUUGUCCAACGGGCGUACUUGGAUCCCUAAUGAAUUCAAAAUUUAAACAUGGUCACAACAUUUUGAAACCAUGGCAUUGUCACUUUAUUUCAAUUUGGGGGGCAAAUUUGUCAAAGCGAAGGAACACAUGUUUGGAUCUUAGUGGGAGGAAAGAAACAAGUCAAAAAGAGCCAUAAAUUACUCCACCUGAUCUUCAACACUUCUCUAAUUGUUUAUCCAGGGUGGUUCUCUUUGGAUAAGUUUUAUUAAACACUAUAUUUAGCAUGGUUUGAAUUUUAGGACGUGUUCAUAUUGGUUGUUGAUCAAUUUUCUGAAGUUGUUGGGCGCAUUGACUUGGUUUAUUAGCAUAUUUGCUUUGCGCGUUCUUAUUUUUCUCUAAGUGGACCAUAAAAUUUACUAUCUGUUUUGUUCGAUUUUUGUUUCUGUAUUCAACAACAGUUAUAUCAAAGUGAAACAUCUGACAAAUAAAGAAAUCUGAUAUUUUUCUAUAUAUAGCUAGCUAGUAAGAAUUAUAAGUAAGAUUUUGAGAUUUAUAAACAAAAGUUUUGAUUCGGUUCUUCUAUCUCUGUUACACAAAAUAUUUGAUGGGAAGAUUCCGCCCAUGGCAUUACAUUGAGAAUUUCUUUUGAAAAGAUUACCGCUUCGGCUCAAAUGAAGCUUCCACAGAAUAGAUAGUUGGUGCAACUACUUUUCAAAAAGCCGGCCUAUUAAAUAUAAAAUUAUAUAAACACCGUUUUUUAACAGCUUAAGCUUUUAGAGUACAACGAUUGUUUCACAUGGUAUCAGAGUAAGAGAUCCCGAGUUUAAGUCAUGCCAGGCUCCAGCAUAAUUAAUUUCCUCCCAUUUAAUUCAAGUCUACGUCAUGGGCCUUAUAAAAAGUCUCAAGCCCAGACGUGAGGAGGAGUAUUACAUAUCUUACAGCUUAAAUUUUUAGAAUACAAUGAUUAAGUUUUUAGAGUACAACGGUUGUUUCAUAUGGUAUCAGCGUAGAAGGUUCUGAGUUCAAGUCAUGUCAAGCCCCCACCAUAAUUAAUUUCCUUCAUUUUAAUUCAAAUUCACGUCAUGGGUCUUGCAAAAAGUCUCGAGCCCAGAUACGAGGAGAGGUGUUAAAUAUAAAAUUAUAUAAACUCCGUUCUCUAACAGCUUAAGCUUUUAGAGUAGAACGAUUGUUUCAUAAAGCCAACACUAUUAAAAGACUCGAAAUUUAUUUUUGAUAAUUAAGACGUUUAACUUCUAUCUCCCGUGUAAACAAGAGAAAUUAUAUAUAUGGAAAGGUGAAUCUAAAGUACACUGGAGCAACACGCUUAGAAGAAACAUCAGACAAAAUGCUGCAACACUGGGGCAAUUUGUGGAGGGUGACACUACAGUGCCCUCAUAUAUAAAGGUGGCAUGAUCAUGUGAGGUUAAAGACUCACAAACAAGGCAAAAACCCUCAUGUGAGGUUGAUUGGGCCCAGGAUAGCAACAGCUACAUUAGGACCACACGCACACAGAAAAAUAAAAGGCUAAAUAAGAGACACCCCCCCCAAGAGAAUAAAUGUUUCCAGGUCACAAUUGAGAAGGACCUUGUUGUGUGCAAUCCAAUACUGCAGUUAUAGGAAAAUCUGUACAUCUGUCGGAUGUCGAACAGUGAGAAGAAUCGAGAAAGAGAGAAGAGAGUAAAUCGAUCACAUAAGCAAUUUAUACACUUCAAAUGCCGAUAUGUAUUAACGGGCGAAAAUCGAGCGAAAAAAUUUCAAUAUAAUAUAAUUGCUUAUUUUGUUGAGAGCUACAAAGGGCCCUUGGGGGGUAUAUAUCCUUGAUCAUUACUCAUUUCAUCAUAUCUCACACUGAUUCAUUUAAUAUGGUGCAUUACAGAUAGGUGGGGCCUGAGCUCACCAAACUACAUGCAAACAUCAUAAGGACUUCAUGCAUAAGAUUCAAGAGCAAUAUUGAGCACAAUAAAUGAUACCAUCAUUGAAACUUGUAUUAUUAGUAUAUAUAUGUAAGCCUCAUUUAGCUCCCAAUGUUGCAGCACAUGUACAGUUCCAACUAGUUUAUUUGCAAUAUUAAAUGGCUUAAAAUCACGUAAAUAUAUACAAAAAAGAACGAAAAGAUUUUUACUUCUCGGGGUAAAAACCCCUGGUUAAUUUCCAUGCAUGAUCUAUCUUUAUAAAGAUCUGAAAUUUGUGAUGCGUACGUGUUUAAGCUACUAGGUAAAAUGAAAUUAUAUUUCUUGCAAUUAAUGUCAACCCUGAGUUUUUUUUAAUUUAUUAUCUAAUAUCUCUCUUGCAUGUUAUAUAAUUGUAUUUUGAAUGAGAAUUGUUUCCGGGGAGGACAUUACAAGAAAUUAUAUUUCGUAAAUUUUAAAGGGGGAGUUGCUUAUCUAUCCUUGAAAAUUUUUCGACUUUCUAAUUUAUAACUCUUAGAAAGCUAAUAUUAAAAAUAUUCUUUUAUUGUUCUAAGUUAUUUCAAAUAUAUCUCUAGAGUUAAAUUUUGUUAAUUUAUUGUUAGCAACAACCGUUAUCUCUGUAAAAUUACUAUUUUACCCUUUCAAAUAUAUCUUUCUAUCGUCACCUACUUUUCUUAUUUGUCUUUAAUAUAGGAACAAAAGAAGUAUUUUAAUUUUUUUUAUCUUUUCAAACAUACCUUUCUACCAGCACCAAAUUUUUUAUUUAUUCUUAAGUUAAAAAUAAAAGAGGUAAUUUUAUUUUUUUUUUAACUCAGGUAAAAUUUUGAGCCGGUUUUAACAUGAGAUAACUUAUCAGGUACUAACAACGGAAGUAUUUUUUGAAUAACGGGGAGCUAUAUUAGAGGUAUAUUUGAAACAAAAAAGAAAACAGGGAUAAAUUAGAUUUGUCAUAAGUUUUUCAGAGGCAUAUUAGAUAUUAUCCCAAUUUUAAAUAAGUCUAAGCAAAAUAUAAAGGACCAAAUUGCGAACGAUCAAAAGUUCAAGGAUUGCCUAUCAUUAAAAUGGGACCAAUGGACCUGAAAUUCGAAUGUAGCCCAUAGGGCCCAAACCAUCUUGGACUCAAAUCAUCGUAGACCAGGCCCAUUCCGGCCCAUAGACCCCAAGGAGUUUCACGAGCCUAGACCCGGCCCAAGCCAAUCAUUGGUGGAACUCGUCGGCAUCAUAACGCGUUUGGGGAGGGGUCGAAGCGAUCGAUCGAAGCAAACGUUUUUUCCGCGGAAAAAAAAAAAAGUAAAUAAAAAAGGAUUAGGGCGACGAAGAAGAAGAGCAUCUCUCUUCGAUCUUUUCGAUCUCUUCGAUUCAACCCCCCCGAUCGAAUUCCUCCGUGUGAGAUCGCCACGAUGAGUUUCCUCUUCGGGAAGAAGAAGACCCCUGCGGGUACCAAUUUCUCCCCUUAAUCCUCUCCUAUUUUGGAUCUAGUUCGAAUUUUUUCACCAAUAUCUGACGAAUCGGUUCAUGUUCUUCGAUUAUUCAUGUGUUUUUUGUUGAAAUCAUGCUAAAAAGGACGCAUUUUUUGUGUGAAUUUUGUGUUGUGGCUAUAGAUACCCCCUCAAAUUAUAGGCCAAUUUUGAGUAGAUCUCCUCAAGUAUUUAACUUUGGAUCGAUAUCCCCUAAUUUUUUUUUAUUUUUAAUUUAAAUUAAUUGAAUAAAUUGGAAAUUUUAUUGUAGUUAGUGAUGAUCAUGUUAAAUUUAACUGAUAUGAACACUUUUUUAGCUGAUAAAUCUGUGAAUUUUAUCAACUGUUAACUGCUGAUAGCUAUCAGGUCAGUUAAUUCUAAUGAAUCGCCAAUUCAGUUUAGGAAGAUAAUUCAAAUCAAAGCAAUUAAAAGUUGAGGAGUGUCGAUCAAAAGAAGUAAAUUUGAAGAGUCUAUUUCGAAAUUUACUACGGUCGAUGGUGUCUUCAACUCUUCAUAUAUUUUAACCUAAUUUUUGUGAAUAUUUGUAGCGUGUAUUGGAAUUUUAUGCGGAUGUUGUGUUUAUUCGCAGAGUUACUGAGAGAGAACAAGAGAAUGUUGGAUAAAUCUAUCAGGGAAAUAGAAAGGGAGAGGCAAGGUCUUCAAGCCCAGGAAAAGAAGCUUAUUGCGGAGAUUAAGAAAACUGCUAAACAGGGCCAGAUGGUAUAUAUGCUAAUCAUUAAAAUUUUCAAUGAUUUAUAUGAUAAUAUUGAUCAUUUGGGUACUGGAUUAGUUGCUUAAGUAUCAAUCGCAGCAUUCCUAUUGUGCAUUUGGCAUUUGCUAUUCAUAUUAUGCUUCCUUGUGUUAUUAAUUUUGUUAUCUGACAUGCUGAAUAGUUCUGAAUUAGCUUUAUCCUUCGAUUUAUGUUAGGAUUUAUAAUUUUAUGCUUGUUUUAUUCAUGAUUGUACAUUUCACAUGCUAAUGAUCUAUAAAGUUGGAUUGAAUUGCCUAGAUUUAACAUUUGCCUCUUUAUUUCGGGAGCAGUGAUAGUCUAGGUACAUUUUGGGAGUAUAUAUUCAAUAAUUGGUUACCAAACAAGGCUGAUUCAGGCUACAUACUUUCAUUCCUAUUAUUUGGAUUUUAGUAUAAUUGUGUGACUUAGCUCUCUUUGUACAAAUGCAGAUAAGUAGCUAAGUAGUUGCAUUUUGUUACUUGGAUUAGUUAUUUCUUGACAUGUAAUCCAUACAGCAACCUUCUAUUGAUAUAUGUGCCUUGCUACUUUUUGAGCAUGACAAGAGGAUCCGAGCAGCAUAACUGAAUAGUCUUUAAAUCUUAUUGUUGACAGUUUAGCCUCAUGUUACAGAGAAAGAAGCCUUUGAAGAAACCUAAAAGCCUCGAAAUAGUCUAGGAGAAGAAGAGUGACUCUAAGUCUCUUUAAUUCUCUGAUUAGUCCAAAGAACCUCAUUUUCGAAUUUCUACUGCAAUGUACUUUGUUGCUUCAUUAUGGCAGACGGUUAGGAACUUAUUUCAGUAACACUGGAAAUUUCCAUCCUAGACCGAAAGAUUCAAACGAUAGAUUUUAGGUUGCAUUUUGGAUGUGUUUGUUUAUGGAAUCCAUAGUAGCAUUAAUAGUAUGUCUAUCUUGUUUUGCAACUUUAUUGCCUUUUGAGUGAGGUUUAUCUUUUUUCGAUGGUAUAUGUCUGUUGCAGGGAGCUGUAAAAGUAAUGGCAAAAGACCUUAUUCGUACCAGGCAUCAGAUUACAAAGUUUUAUGCUCUCAAGUCACAGCUGCAAGGAGUAUCUCUUCGAAUUCAGGUAGAUAUCUGUUUAUUAUCUCUGGUGUAGUGUAACUGUUGUCGAAGUUGGGUUAGCCACUAGAUGAUUUUGCAGGGGGAUAUGUGUGCAAAAGCACAUACUGUUUUAGACAAUCGAGAACAGAUGAAGCUGUGAGAGAUUUUCUCAGCAGACCAAAUUUUCCAAUUGCCAUCAACCUCAGCAACUAAUUAGUAUUUCUCACAGACUUUGAAAUCGACCCAAGCGAUGGGAGAAGCCAUGAAAGGAGUCACUAAGGCGAUGGCCCAGAUGAACAGGCAGCUGAAUCUGCCUGCACUGCAGAAGAUAAUGCAAGAAUUUGAACGGCAAAAUGAGAAAAUGGAAAUGGUCAGCGAGGUGAUGGGAGAUGCUAUAGACGAUGCCUUGGAAGGAGACGAGGAAGAAGAAGAAACGGAAGAACUCGUGAGCCAGGUGCUCGAUGAAAUUGGGAUCGACGUUAAUUCAGAGGUACCUUUUUCUAAGAUAAAUUUAAUCACCUUCCUGUUUUCUAUCAAACAGUUUGGUCGGGGACGAUGAGGGGCUUGUUUAUUCCCGUUAUUUGCAAAACGCGAUGAAAGAAAAGUUUCAGAUGCCCCAUGCAUAAAAAUUAGUUAUUCCCGCAGAAUCCGUCCCCUAACCAAACAGCGCAGGAACUACAUGCUUUGCUUUUACUGUUAUGCAUCAGAGAACUGAGAACCUUUCAUUUUCUGUGCUAAUAAAACACGCAGCUUGUCAAGGCCCCUUCGUCGGCGGUGGCUAAACCAGUUGCAGCUGGGAAGGUUGCUCAAGCGGAAGGAGCCGCGGGCGAAGACACCGGAAUAGACGAUGAUUUACAGGCAAGGCUAGAUAAUUUGAGGAAAAUGUAAUCUUUAUGUACUCAUCUGACUCGUCCGAUGAAACAAGCCAAUAAACUUAGCUUCAUGUACCAUAGCCAUCACGAAUUAUUUCUCAUAAUAUUACUCCCAUGCUUGCUAUUUUAAGAUGCGUGUACGAAGUUUUUCACUUGGAAUUCUCUCAUUGAUCGCAUUUUCUUUUUAUUUGUUUCUCGUGUGGGAUGUUCUAUUCAGUUUUGAUGUGCAGGGUACAGUUUGAACUUUGAAGGCAUGUUAAUUAGUGUGUGAACCAGUUGUAUAUGUACAAUAGCAUGCUCACAGAAUUGGUUUCUUGCUUUAGAGAUACAACUAAGGCACCUAAAUAUAACUUCCCCUCUCUCUUUCUCUCUCUAGAAGUUCAACUGAAACGCUUGCGAUCGGCUAGCGUAGUAAAACUGCGCCCCCUGUCGACCCUGUGCCUCCAAAUCUGAAUGGCGACUCGAUGCUGCUGCUCCGGUGAAGGAGCAGUUCCGAGCCACUGGGUAGACGGGAGCUCGACAAAGCGGGCAGUUCACGUGAGAGAAGAGCCACAUGUCGAUGCAAGCUGCAUGGAACAAGUGCUUACACCGCGGCAUCCGCCUGACAUCUUCUCCAUCUGCAAAAGCCGACAGGCAAACCGAGCACUCGCCGUUCGAGUCAUUAUCGCAGCAAACCCCGCACUCACCGGCACAGCCGUUUGAGGCAUUAUCGCAGGGCCGAUCAAUCCGAUACUUCAUCGCGGGAAUUCCGUGCGUGAUUUCGAUCUCACGCGCUUCGCCGGUCGAGCCGUCGGCGAACCCCAGGCGGCGUCGGAGGCUUUGCAUUGUCGGAUGAGAGGUGGAACAGCAAGCGAAUGCGACGAUGUUCGACAGUAUGAGGAGGACGGCUACCGCGCAGAUUGUGAUCGUGAAGUAGUAGUAGAUGGGGGAUGAGUCCCCUGAAGAAGUUGAAGAGGCCAUUGAAUCUUACGUUUAGAGAGAGAGAGAGAGAGAGAGAGAGAGAGAGAGAGAGAGAGAGAGAGAGAGUAUCGCAUAUAUGUAGGUAAGGAGAGAGGGGAGUGGGAAAAACGUGAAGGGUACGCUGAUUGCAACUGAGCAGUGGGGACACGAACAGUAGAUUGAUACGGCUUCUUACGGUGUUUAUAUCGCAUUUUUUGAGUACUUAUCCGUGCUAUAACAAUGGUGUGAGAAUCACGGGGCCCUUGAAUUAGGGCCAUUUAUUCACAGGCAAAUUAAAUUUGCUGGUCUAAGUAGAUAUCAUAAUAAGCUAAAUUAGAGCUUUUGCCGUAACAGAAAUCAUAAAAUGUACGUUACAUACGUUAAAGUUGUCUACGCUAGAGAUUCGAUAAAAAUAGUAUUAUUAGAGAAUCCGUAACUUACUACGCUUAUUUUUUAUUAAUCUUCUGGCGUAUAUAAUGUAAAAGCUUUUUAUUCAUUUUAUAAACUAUUAUUUAAAAUAUAAUAUGAACUUGUCUACACAUCAAUAACUUCUAAGCGAGUCUUUGUGGGGGUCCAAAAAAUAAUUAAAUACAGAGUGGAGCAAAAAUGUGAAUUCGUAAAUGGUUUACCUAUUUUCAAAUUCACCAUGCUCAUACACGUUGUGUAUGCAUUAGAGCGUUGGAACAGAAGCUAAUUAAUUAUGUACGUAGAUCUGUUAUCUUAACUUUUCCUCAAAUGCAUGUAACUCCCUCACUUUAUUGGCAAAUAAGUAAUAACAUCCUUUGAAAUGUAAAAAAGCUCUCUAAUUAUGCACAUAAUAAUAUAGCAUGUGGAAAGAUAUGAAGAGGGAAAAGAGAGAGAGAGAGAGAGAGAGAGAGAGAGAGAGAGAGAGAGAAUUGUGUAUUGGAAGGGCAUGCAUUGUAUUUUGUACGUACGUAGGUUGCGUUGAAACUAAUUAAGGCAAGUCCAAGGAGUUUCGUGCAUGUAAUAUAAAUUUUACUGCUUCUUCUGUGAGUAGUACGUAUAAUGUCAGUGAUUGAAAUUAAAGAAACUGGUAAAAUGCAUGUACGGACGGCCUCUUUACAUUUUUAUGUAAGCGUUAACUUGCACUUUGGUCGUCCAUUAAUUACUUUUUAAAUAAAACGAAUAAUUAAUAAUAAUAUAGGACUCCUAUGUAGACCUUAGAAACUAAUGCACUGUAUCCUUAGAAAUAGAUGCCUUUAAUUAUGAGUUGAGAAGGUGAUCAAGUGAUGUAUUGAUAAAUUCAUGUAGCAUUUUUUGCAUAAAUAUUGACUUGUACUUGUAUUUGCAUGUUGAAUUCCUAGUAAAUAAGAGUUGAGAUUACAUGUACAACAGCCAGAGGAAACUUAAUUUCUCUCCAAAUUAUAAAAUAAAAUAAAAGAGAAAUUCAUCAAAAAUGGAGGAACUAAAAGAGAAAGUUAAUUCAGUUUGUACCUAAUAAGGUAAUUGUACUCCGCAUCACUUAAACAUUAUCAAUUAAGAAUAUAUAUAUAUAUAGAGAGAGAGAGAGAGUUGAGCUGGAAUGCUAUUAGUAGCAAAUGGACUCCGUUGUCAUCCAUUUGUUUUCGGUAAUCGAGUCUCCAAAUUGACGAUCGACACCGUUGAAUAUGAUCUAUACUACUUGGAGCAUGUAGAAACUAAAUUUUAAAUUUUUUUUUGCAUCAUUGGCCUAAUGAUCAAAGUGUUUCAAAAUUUAUAAUUUUAACGAUUGAUACGUGACGUUUCUCAUUUAAUGGUGUAAAGAUAUUUAAAUGAGUUGAAUUUUGGUUAGAAAAUUCUUUAAACUAUAAGAUUUAUACUCUUGAUCUUGAUUACAAGACUCCUAUCAUCACUUUUUAAAGAAUAUUCAUUUUCGAUCAUUCAUUUUUAUGUCCACUUGAUAGAUAAGAGAAUAAUAUCGAAAAGUAUAAAAUUUGAUUUUUAAAUAUUUCAAGUGGUAUAAAUCAUGUUCAACGAUAUCGAUCGUCGAUUUAGAGACUCGGUCGUCGAAAACAAAUGAGUGGCAAUGGAGUCUUUUUACUACCGAUAGUAUUUCAGCUCAACUCUCUCUUUCUAUAUAUAGAAUUAACAAAUGAAAUAUGAUCGAGCGUUAGAUUUAAUGAUAGAAAAUUUGACAGUAUCAAUCACUUGGUAUUAUCGACAGUAUAGUAACCUAACUUAUAUAGAUGUAUAUAACCAAAAUUGAGCGUGCUAUAGGAUGGCGGCCGGAGGCGGCAUGCGGUGCGGCAGCGAAUCGCCGCGGGCCACAUGGCAGGCGCGCAGCGGCGGAGGGGCUAUCUCGGCGCGGCACACGGGGCAGCUGGUGCGCGCGCGGAGCCACGCGUCGAUGCACGCCACGUGGAAGCAGUGCGCGCACUCCGGGAGCACCCGCACGGCCUCGCCCUCCUCGAAGUCCGCGAGGCACACCGCGCACGUGCCAUCCCCCUCCCCUUCCCCCUCGCCUCCCCGGCUCUUCUCGUAAGGCACCGCCGCCGCGGGAAUCAGCUGCGCGGCGCUGCUGCUGCUGCAGCUGCAUGGGAUCUGCUGCUGCUGCUGCUGCUGCUGCAUGGGACGCUGCGCGGGGGCCGGAACGCGGCUGCGGCUGCGGCUGCGGCGGCCGUUGGGGCAGCACGUGGCGAGGAGGCAUCGGCAGAGGGCGAGGACGAUGCCGACCGACAUGAAGCAGAGGAAGGUGAUCAACACCGGGGCCACGUACUUUGGGUUCGCGCGGUGGUCGCGAUCGCCGCGGUGGUGGUCCAUUUCGGUUGCAACGGCGGUGCCGCCGAAACGGAGACUGAUGUAUCAGAGCUAGCUAUUUAUCUUUCAAUGAACUCUAUAUACGAUGAACUAAUAGGGGAGGAUAUUUUUUUUUGUUUUCAAUUUUUCUGAAGUAACUUUGUAUAUAUUUUGUCUCAUUCUAUUAGGGAUGGUUCGGAAACAAAAACAAACAAGAAACAAAGGCCGAGACAAAGAAUAGAACGUUGUUUGCGAGGUUUUCGGGGUUUUCAAACCGUGUUUUGUGUUGGAACGGUUUGCUUUGGCUUUUGCGUGAGCUUCAUAUGGAGUAUUAGAGGAAGCUCCAGUGAGUUAUUUUUAGAAUUGCAUAGCUUACUAAUCUUGGACUCUGGGAUACUUUCAAAUCAAGUAAAAACAAAUUUGAAAGUGUAUGAUCAUACCAGAGUGUCCAUAUAAAUGGAGACAUAAGAUUUUGGCCACUUCUAUGUAGAGUUGAGAUUUUACCUUUUUUUUUUUUUUGAGAGAUAGGUAGCACGCUAUCCGUUUCGUUUAUUUUAUUUAGAAAUAAACUUAGCAAGAAAUGUGAAUCAACUAGGAUUCGAACUUGGGACUCGAUCGGAUACCAACCACCAAAUCUUUUGCCACUUGCUCUAAGGACGGUUGGUAGCUUUUUCAAUUAUAGGACAAGAAAAACUUUACAGAUACCCCUGUUUAAUCAAAAAAGAAAAACUUUACAGAUUUAUUGGUUGAUUUGCUUAUUAAUUAAUUUUAUUUUCUUUCAUAUAUCUUGUGUAGAGAAAAUGUUCUGAAAUGCUGCGCUAUUGAGUAGGAGGGUUAUGUACACUACUUACUUACUGGGCUUUACAAAAUUUAUCUGUGUAGUUCUCUCUCUCUCUCUCUCUCUCUCUCUCUCUCUCUCUCUCUUGUUUUUUAAGGAUUAUAAAUGGUGGCCAAGAUCACCAUUAUAUAACAUGCUCCAUUAGGUGGUGACAUGUCUAUUUUGUUUGCGCAUUGUUCACUCGUGAUGAACUCAAUCUUAAGCUUCUAAAUAUUUUAGAUAUGGAAGGCUAAAAUAUGAAAUUAAAGUAAUAUAGAUAGAGCAAUGAAUGAUGACUAAAUUGUUGGUGGAUGAUCUGAUAGGAAAGAAAUAAUAUAAUUUUAAAAACCAAUUAUUUGAUCUUUUUUGACCAUUAAAUAAAUUCGGAACGUGAGCAGGAAUUGGAUUAAAUUUUGCAGCUCUUAGUGACUUGGAUUUGAGUGAGAAGUUAAUAGAGUUAGUAAUUUUUCCACGAUUUUUCUUUUUUAUUUUUAUUUGCCUUUUUUAUUUUGAUUGCCUUGAACAUUUUUUAAGGCCGCGUUGCCUCAACCCAUAUAGCUAAAUUCAUUUGCUAAAUAAAUGAAGCAUGCUAUCCUUUUCUAAAAAAAAUAAUUGAUGAGCAAAUUCAAUACAUUUGUUUUCUCUUACAUAUUAUGAGAAUUUGACAUUUUCUUUUAUAUACUUAAUUAAUAUAAUGCAGCGUGCAUGCUUAUGCACCCAUAAUCUUUUAGUGCAAUAAUUUAGGGUUAAUAAUGUCUUAAUUAAUAAUGCUUCAUAACAUGUUCACUUUUACAAUGAGGGGGUGAUGGUGGUUAAAGGAAGGGGCAAUUAUAAGCCUAUUUAAUGAAUAAAAUUUAUGAACCAUUGAUGUCUUUAAUUAGGAGUGGAUGGUGUGUCAUUAUGUCCAAUCCCGUUAUGGAUUAUUAAUUGUCCAUAGACUUGUUAAAAAAAACAAAAUCUUAAUAACAAUUAUUUUAUACAAGACUACUAAAAUUAAUAAAUAUAUGAAAAAUAUCAAACAAUAUAUUAUUGUAUUAUUUUUAACCAAAUGUUUGGCUUUGUUGUCUUGUAGACAUAUAAUAUACAAUACAUUACAAUAUGUAAUAUUUCACAAAUGGUGGCACAUGUCAUGGUACAAUUAUUCACUUAUGAUGAUAAGUGAAUAAUAAUUAUUAAUACCGUUGCGAAGAAAAAAGAUUAGAGUAAUAUCAAUCGUAAAAAAAUAACAUUUAUUAUAUCUAAUUUAUAAUAGAUGAAUGUUUUGACUAUAGUAACGGUGCGGCGAAUAGUAGUAUAAAUAAUUUAAAGGGUAAAAACUACGUGGAAUGGUUCGAAAAUUUUCGUUUUGUUUUUUUUUUUUUUUGUCAAUAUUAAAAACAGCAAGAUUUUUUUUUUAUUUUUUAUUUUUAGCUAGAACAUCUUGCGUAACCCGGUUUCCGUCCUGUCGCCGUUAAUUAACGGCGAAAUUAGUCUAAUUGCGCAGUUCUUAAAUCGACGGCGUCGUCGUACGUUCGUUCCUUCUCCUUUCCCUCACCUCUCUCUCUCGUCCUUAUUGUGGAUGGGUGGAGAAGCCAUAGUCGAAGCUCACGAAGCACAAUUCCCUUGUCGUUUUUGAUCCUGCUUCGAAAGGUAAUCCCCCUAAUUAGCACCAAUUCGUUUCUUGGCAAUAACUAGGUUUUGAUCUUUCCGACCUCCUUUUUCGCUUUCGAUUUUGAUUUGGGUUACUGGUUUUGAUCCAUACGUAUCUCCUCAAUUCGAACCCCUUUUAGCGAAUUGGAGCCGUUUCGGGGGUUUCUAUUGUUACAACGAUCUUGCCCCUUUGUAAUCGGUUGAGAAAUCGAGGGUUUUCGGGGGUUGUUGGAUGCAAAGAUCACUUUUUUAGUGUUUGUUUUGGGAUUAACUUGGGCUGGGACCAAUUGGGUAUCUUCUGUUUGUAUCAUCAGUCUUGCCCUUUUCGAGUCAGCUGAGGAAACUAGGGUUCCAGGAUUUGCUGUGCUAUUUUUAGGGUUUAUUUGACCUGGGAUCAAUUGGGUUUCUUCUAGUUUCACAAUUUGGUUGAUUGAUUGAUUAAUUUGAUCUGUGAAUGUUGGUUCUAGGGUUUUUGUAGUUAAAAAAAAAAGGUUCCUUUCUGCUGGGUCUGAUCUGGGGAUUCGGUUGGAUUUGGGGGCUAUUGGGGUUUUCCAUUGAUCUGUUGGAAAUUUGAUGGUUGGAUUUAUGGAAUGGGCCUGUGAGUGCCUCCUGUGGGAUGCGUUCAUCGAAUGCGGCGGCAUCCGAAACCCGCCGAUUAGAUAGCGCAAAGAGAAAGGAGGCGGAGGAGGAGGAGGAGGAGGUGAAUAGAGAGUUCGCGCUGUUUCGAGACAGAGUGAUGGGAGAAGAUCUCCUCACCACUUUAUCCAUGGAUAACCACCACCAUCCCUCCACCCUCCUCUCCAUAGAACCUUCCGGAAACCCAUCAUCGUCUUCCUCCCACGAGGAUGUCGACCACCGUGAACCCAUGAUCCACCACCGCCCCCCCGCGACUCUAUCUGGCCCCCCUGAUAUAAACCUUCCCUUUUCGGAUGAAAUCUCUCCGCCACACCACUCAUGGAACUCGGAUGCUUGCGAUAAUAUAUUCGACAUCAGCACAGGCCCCCAGCUUUAUGACCCAGAUUCUAUGCUCAACCUCCCAAAGAUUACCAACCGCAAAUUUGCCAAAAGAGGAGAUAGCAUUUGGGGUGCGUGGUUCUUCUUCAAUAACUACUUCAAACCUACAUUAACUGAUAAAUCAAAGAAUAAGGCCGGCGUUAGGGAUGCGAACUUCGAUAAGUCGGAUUUGAGGCUCGAUGUCUUCUUUGUCCAGCACGACAUGGAGAACAUGUACAUGUGGGUUUUCAAGGAGAGGCCUGAGAAUGCCCUAGGCAAGAUGCAGUUAAGGAGCUUCAUGAAUGGCCAUUCACGGCUUGGCGAACCGCAGUUCCCGUUCAGCGCCGAUAAGGGUUUUGUCCGGUCCCACCGAAUGCAGCGCAAGCAGUACCGUGGUCUGUCCAACCCUCAGUGUAUCCAUGGAAUUGAGAUCGUGAGAUCGCCUAAUCUUGCCCUAAUUCCUGAAAGCGACCUCAAGAAAUGGGUGGAAUUAACAGGAAGGGAGCUUAAUUUCCCAAUCCCGCCUGAAGCUAGUGAUUUUUGUUCAUGGAGGAAUCUUAAUUCUGCUGAUUUCGAGCUUGAAAGACCAAAGCUGUUGAAUGGGUCGGGCUUAAAUCUAUUGUCGCAAGCAAAUCAUUCUAUUGGUAAUGGAUUGGAUCAUUCUUCACUAUGCAAUAAACGCAGAAUCGAUGAGGAGUGCUUCUUGCCACUAAAUUCUACUUCAGAGAGAGCCCAAGAUGUGGAGAUGAAUAACCCAAUUGAACCUUUGUGGGCAAAUGAAUUUAACGGUGUAAUGAGACACGCAAGUGGCCCCGUGACCGCAUCGAAAACUAUUUAUGAGGAUGAGGGGGGGUAUCUUAUAUUGGUUAGCUUACCUUUUGUGGAUCGUCAAAGGGUGAAAGUUUCAUGGAGGAAUACUCUCACUCAUGGGAUAGUUAAAAUACUUUGUGUUAGUACUGCAAGGAUGUCGAAUAUAAAGAGGCAUGGUAGGACCUUUAAGUUAAUGGAUCCUUUUCCUGAACAUUGCCCGAUGGGGGAAUUCACGAGAGAGAUACCGCUUGCUACAAGGAUUCCAGAAGAUGCUAAGCUUGAAGCCUAUUAUGAUGAGAGUGGUGCAGUACUCGAGAUUAUGGUCCCAAAACAUAGUUCCGGGCCAGAAGAACACGAAGUUAGGGUCUGCAUGCGGCCCUCUCAACUUGGAGGUAGUGAUCUUAUGCUAACAUAAGUAUUUUGAUUGUAGUGUGGAAUUAAUAUUUGUUUGGUUGCGUUAGUGUCUGCCGAAGAACGUGGCCUUUCCAUAGUAUGGUUGGGUUAUUAGUAGAACUACUGCGAGUUUGCUUGUUAGAAGGUUUUGGAGAGAUGGUGGUCAUGUCUAACUAUCUAUUUGAGUCGAAUAAAAUCUUGCUUGUAUUUGUGUUGGCUCUUUUAAAUAACAUAGGUAAUGGAAUUGUAGUUUUUGAGAACAUCUUUUGUGCGCUUUGUAGCUCAUAAGUGCAAUGACUUGGCCUUUUGGCUUUUCUCUGUGAAGUUACUGUAAUUUCUUAUGUUCCUUUUUCAUUGUGGUGAAAAAUUGUCAUCGAUUGUGGGAUCUGCAUCAUCUCAUUUGCGUCUUUAGCACUCUCUUAUGUUUCUUUAGCAAGAUCUCGUAUGACUCAGAGAAAAGGACAGGUUCUUUAUCAAAAGUUAAAACAAAUUAUUCUGCUCCAUUUCAAACCUUUCUUUUCCUUGGGUGCAUAAGUUUUCUGUCUCUUGAUAGCGACUACACCAUUUUGAUUGUAGUAGUCAUGCCCCAAUAAUGAAGGCUAUUAAAUUCAUUGCACAUAAUCUUCUUACAUAUGAUAGGCUUUCGUGUUAGUGCCUGAGAAUGAUUUAUUUAUUUGCAUAUGUUUCUUGUGGAUGGGUGGGUUUUGUUCUUUUAGCCACGACAAGACAUAUAUUUCAAUUUUAGAUGAAAAUUAGCUGUUUUAAAAUGCCUAUUUGGUUUAGCUUUUACAAGGACUUCUCCAGGGAUGACUUUUCGCCCUUUGUUUUUAACUCAACUGUACUUGGAAAUUAAGAGAGGAGCUUGGUGAAGCUUCUAGUUGCUAUGUUUGGGUAAAUUUUAAACAAAGUUGUUAGGCUGCUUCAGUUCUGAGUUUCAACAUGUACAAAUUGCGGAUGCUUUUCGUCUGGUGCAGCUGAACAAGAAAUUCAUGUUCAUGCAGGUAGAAAACUUGAAGAAGAAAUGGAAAUGGUUUGUAAAUAGAUGUUUUGAUAUUACUUGAUCUAUGAUGCUAAUUAGUUUAUUAUUUCUCUGCUGCUUUGCUAGCUGUUUCUCGUAAUGAAACUGAGCAGGAUUUUGAAGUCAUUAUCUAUUUCCUGAAGUGUAGGAUAUGCAAUGUCAAUUCAACUACUCUAAACAGUGUUGGUGCUACUAGUUUAAAAAUCUUAUAUUUGAACAAUUACAGUACUAUCACCGCGCCUCGGUGAAACUGGGCUCUGAAUUGUUUGAUCCUUUGAGGCCCAAUUGUGUCCCAGCCCAAAAAAGGCCCAAAACAUUGGAUGGACCUCUACCCACUCCCUCUCCCAACUUUAACCCCGCACGCAUUCCGAGUCCUUACCUUUUUCAUUCCAUGGGAUCACCCUUUCUUAAUCCUUAAGAAACAACGCAACCAAUAUUUAAUAACCAAUAAUAUUUUGUCUAUUUUACCUUGAAUUUGAACUUAUAUUUUGCACGAGGAGUAUUAUUUUUAUAUGUUUAAACUAAUUUUUCUAUAACUUAUUGUUAAAUAUAAAAAUAUUUAAAUAUCGUUCUCUAAUAGUAUAAGCUUUUAAAGUGUAACGGUUGUUUUACAUGACAUCAGAGCAGGAGGUUCUGAGUUCGAGUUAUGUCAGGUUUCUAACAUUUUAUUCUUCCAUUUAAUUCAAGCUCACGUCAUGGAUCAACUAAAAAAUUUCAAGCCAAGAUGUAAAGGAGAGUGUUAAAAGUUUAACAGUUUAAGUUUUUAGAGUACACCGAUGUGAAAAUAUAUUGUUGCUGUAGUGCAGGAGUUAGAGAUUGAUCUGGAGCAUAUAAGAGUCAAAUGUUUUCUAAUUCUCACAUUUCGAACAUAAGCGAGGCAACCUAGUUUAAGUAUAGCAAAGAACAUUUCGGCUUGAAAUGGACUUCUAAACUAAAUUUAAGACAGGUAAAAGAACUAAAAAUGAGCCUAGUUUUGAGUUAAGUUCAUUUGGAGCCUAAAUUGAAACCUACUAUUCAAACUUAAAUUCAAAAAGUUCAUUAGCCCGUCAUCAUUAACUGACACAUACUGUAAACUCACCUUACUAGCCACUGUGGAUCUUUAAAUUUUGGGUUACUUGAAAACAUCUGGAGAUGCCACAACACACAGAGAACCCAGGAGGUGGCGGAGCUCCUGGACAAAAUUUUGGGGGCAUCUGUUCGCAAACAAUUUAUUUAGAAACGGAACCGAUGGGCGCCGCGUGGUGUACAGGCGCCCAUCACAACCACCCACUUUCCACCACAGGCUCCCCCCCCNUUUUUUCAGUUUCCGAGGGUUGCGACCCAUCAGCUCUGCCCCAAAUAAGUUGUUUGGGGGCGGAUGCCCACCAAAUUUUUAUCCCGAGCUCCUGAAUCCAAAAGAAUAGCUACUGGACAGUAAAAAAGAGUCACUGGAUUUUCAAAUAAUAACAAUAAUUUAUUUAAAAUUAUACAAAUUUUUUUUAAAAUCGUAAUUUUGCUAUCUAAUUUUUUAAUCUAUUUAAUUGGAAUCAAUCAAUAAUAUUUUUAAUUUAAAAUUAAAAUAUAUUAUUUAUUUUUGCAUAUUUUAUUAAUAUAAUUUAUAUAAUUCUCAUAAUUAUAAAUUGAUUAAAAUUAUAUUUUAAUUAAUUCAAAUUAAAAUAAAUUCAAUAGUUGGAUAAUAAAAUGAAAGUUUUUGAAAAAUUAGAUAGUCCAUUUAAAAUGAUCAUACUUUUAAAUAAAUUUGAUAUUAUUUUUAUAUAAAAAAAUAUAACAAAAAAAAUG
RNAcentral lists this long non-coding RNA (53739 nucleotides) under Ananas comosus (pineapple). RNAcentral describes it as "long non-coding RNA (ACOM_LNC020444)". The record is from RNAcentral. Lineage: Eukaryota; Viridiplantae; Streptophyta; Magnoliopsida; Poales; Bromeliaceae.